AUGAAUAAUGCGACCUGUUUUAUUUACCUUUGAAAGGAAACUAUUAAAAUAUCCAUCUUCAAGAAGCAUCUAAACCUCUCCUCUCUGUACAUGCAACAAAAAUCCUGGAUACAGUCAAAGAGCCUCUGAAUUACUUGAGUACUCUAGAACUUGAUGAGCAGGCAAAAUUCCAGCCAAUGGCCUUAUGGUAGGGUCUCUAGAUAGACGUGCUUGACUUUUAUUGGGUACAGUAGCUUAAAGAGCGAUGCGGUUCGAGGUAGCCAGUAGCUUAGCUCUCUACUUCUUCGGGGCGGAUGAAGUUACUGAUAAGGUUAGCACAAAACUAGACUAAGAAAGUUAGAACAUCACAUACUAAAGGCAAAAAACCUAUCAUCCGAUGACAAAAGUAAGGCCUUGUACAUGAGAUCUGGUGUCCCCGAUCAUCGAUUCGGGAUAAAGACGAGACGAAGGUACCAUGGAACCGACAGGGUGCCCUUUGAGGCAGAGUGAUUUUUUCCAUUGGCUCGCCUUUAGACUUCUGCCCUUCCUGUGCUUCUAUCACAAGAACCUGCAGAUUUCGCGAUUUCAAAAUCACAUUAAACGUCAUUACCGGUAGGCAAACCUACAUGAUGAUUGCAUUGAAACUCUUAAACUUAACCUGGGACACAGCUGUUCCUUAAUUAUGUGCCCAAGAGACGAUCCAACCACCGUCCUCUCCAGGACCAUCUUUUGCAGGGACAAGAACACACCUGCCGCAGAAGCUGUCCUUUUAGAAAUUAUGGUAGCCGACUUUCAUCAACUUCUUGUGAUAUUUUCCUCUCUAAUUCAAGGCCGCAGUGAGGUACCUUUCGACGUGUACAAUGGAUAAUUAGAAUGACUCAAAAAAACUUUCAAUAAUACCUCAGAGUCAGACAACCCAGGACCAGGUUCGUCAAAGCAUAAUUUCACAAGACCUCCAUAUUUAGCCAUUCCUGAAUCGAAUGAGUGACACGUAAACAAUAGGAACCAAUCUCAUGUGCUACUUUGGGCAAGUGGACAUGGACUCGAGAGUAGAGACUGGCAUUGCAUUACCACUUUCAGAGCUUGUUCUGAAUUGGUGGCUUGAGCAUAACCAUACCUGUUACGCAAGCCAGUGAAUUCGGCAUUUAUGAAAGGGAAGUCCAUAGAGAAUUCAGUGCCCAUAAAAUUUGACUCCUGAAUUUCCCAAAUUCCAUGUUCAGUCUCCACCCAUAGGCACAGGUAAACAGAUAGCCUCCAUGUUUGUUAGCAUUUUUAUCCACCGGUUCUCUAGAGUUGAAUCCUCUCGAAAACCACUUGAACUUGUUCAUACCCCAAUCAGGACACGGAAACACCAACGUAAGAGAUCUGCAUCUUCUCACCACAACCUGCAUUGUUGGGCAAUAUCAUUAAAGUUUAGGCUUAGUCUAAGAGGAUUUUAACCUCCAAAUUAGGCUUCUAGGAAAAUAAUACCUCAUAACCGUCCCGAAAGCACUUGAAUAUGUGAAAUAUGCAGCUUGAUUCUAUAUAAAACCAUUGGACUGAACUCGUGUCUCCAUAACGUAGCAUCACCCCUAUCCUUACAUAUCUUCCUUGUCAUACUUCAGUAACCUACAUUCCAAGAAAACAACUAGCUGCUUCAACAAAUUGAAAAACUAUCACUAAGAAAGGCAUUACCAAAUGAACGCUACAACAUGAGAUCAACUAGUUAUUCGCUGAAUCAAUUAGUACCGAAUCAUGCUGUAAUGUGCCAGUGAGGGAUCUCCGUCUUUCCAGAGCAGUCUUGACACCAAAACUCUCACAAAGCAAUUACAACGUCCAGCUCUGCCUACAUUCCUGAUCCAAAACAAAUGUUCCAUUUACACAGGCACUUCACUCCUAAUCUCACAACAGAACCACCUCCACAUAUGGUUCCCUUUGGGUUUCAUCUCCCAUAUCAAAAUGAUAUCGUUUCUUUUAUCGUGUAUAGCACGUUCUAUUAUGUCUUACUAUUCUGAACGUCCAUAAUGAGCAUCAAUGGAACAAAUCCACCUUACACAGGAUAAAAAUUCUAAUGCUUAAAUGAUUAUAAGACAAAAUCAGAAGAUGAUUUUUCCAGACGGGAUGAAUUUAAUUGACAGUCUACCCUUGGUCAAAUCUGACAUGUAAAUCUGAUCAUUGAAUACAAAAUGGCCGGAGAAUCUUGUGAAGAAAAUAUAGCAUUGCAUCAGAACAAGCUAAUUAUUUACCACGAAAAAGAAUGGUUAAGGGACUGAGAUAACUGGAGUUAAGGGAUUUCCUGAAGAGUACAUAUGGCUUAUUUGGAGCAAUUGAUCUUCCAAUUGAGCAUCCUCAUGGAAAAUAUGAAAUCGAAAGUAUCUGCACAAGCGAACAAACAUAACCACAUAGAUUUCAAGGGAGAAGCCAAUCAUUCUUCAAAAGUAGUACUUCGAAAAAUCACUCUUUGAAGUAUUUGCAGCCGUUAAGAAUAUUUUCAUAUAAGGAAAAAUCAAUCCUGACUUAAAUAGAACCUAGAUUACUCUAGUUCCAAAAAUUACUAACCUAGAAACUCUAGAUCGAUUUCGCCCCAUUAGUUUGUGCAAUUUUGCCAAUAAAAUCAUAUCCAUGGUAAUGGUGAAUAGGCUCAAACCUUGGUUAUCAAAAUUGAUAGCUCAAGAGCAAAGUGCAUUUGUGACGGGGAGACUUAUCCAGGAUAAUAUCAUGAUAGGGCAGGAACUGUUGCAUCAACUAAGAGCAAAGAAGAGGAGGAAAAAAUUCCUAGCAUUUUUUAAACUUGAUAUGAAAAAGGCGUAUGACAAAGUAGAAUGGGACUUGUUGGAGGCAUACUUAAGAAAACUGGGCUUUGAUAAAAAGUGAAUCACAUGGGUUAUGCAAUGUGUAUCUUCAGUUUCAUUCAGUGUUAAAUAUAAUCGGAAUCAUCUCCCUUACUUCCAACCUUCCAUAGGACUUUAGCAAGGUGAUCCUUUAUCCCCUCAUCUCUAUAUUUCUAUAGCAAACAUAUUAUCUCUUAUGAUGAAGAAAGCAGUGGAGGAUGGCAAUAUAAAGGUAUUAAGCUCAACUUUUUUCCCUUACCAUAUCAAAUCUCCUAUUUGCGGAUGAUUCCAUCUUCUUUUUAGAUGGGGGAAUUCAAGAAUGCCAAUCUAUAUAAGAUGUAACAUUAGUAUUGUUUUGCUACUGGAGAGGAGAUAAACCUAAACAAAUCAGGAAUACUCUUUAGCUCAGGGUGUCCACAGACCAUAAGAGCCAUUAUGGCUUAUGAACGGUGUGUCCUUGAACUGGAUAAAAUAGGAAAAUACCUUGGAAUUCCUUUGGAUUGGGGAGAGUCUAAGAAGAAUAUGUUUUGCUUGGAUACUUGGAAGGGUCCACAAAAAAUUGGAAGGUUGGAAGGAAUCUUUAACUUCUAAAGCAGGACAGGAGAUAUUAGUAAUAAUUAGUGGCCCAGGCUCUUCCUCAACAUGCAAUGUCAAUUUUCAAGAUUCCUAUUUUCAUAUGUAAAGCGAUUGAACACAGAAUGGUAGCAUUUUAGUGGAAAAGCAGAGAAUCUCACUCCGGUAUUCAUUGGAAGAGUUGGGAUUUCUCGAAGCAAAGGAAAGACAAUGGAGGCAUUGGAUUCAAAGAUUUACUUUCUCUUAACAAAGCUUUCUUAGGAAAGCAAGCCUAGAGAUUAAUGCACCAGUCUUACUGUUUAUGGGGUCAAACUUUUAAAAGGAUUUACUUCACAAAAAGGAGAUUCUGGGCAUGCUGGGAAGGGGCACAGACCCUCUUGGGGCUGGCAAAGCUUAUUAGAGGGAAGAGACUCAAUCUUAGAACCUUCAACGUGGACAGUGGAAACAGGAGAAGCACUUGGUAUCAUGGAGGACAGAUGGUUCAAAAGAGGUGUAAUUGGAGGGCUGGCAAACGAAAAUGACCCACAAGUAGUAGAGGUUAUAAACCACAAAGAAAAUUCCUAGAAUGAACCUCUUCUUCGAAAUAUUUUCAAAGAGGACACCGUGAAGGAAAUUUUGGCUAUUCCUCCAACAACCCACUCUAUUCAAGACAAAUUGGUAUGGAGAUAUUCAUCAAUAGGAAAUUACCCUGUAAAGAGUGGCUACUACUACAUAAGACUUACUGAGAAUAUCCGGAAAGCUCCAAUGGCUUCCUCAUCUUUCUUGGCUCCUCGGGCAAUAUGGAAUAAGACCUAAAAAAUGCAAACAAUUCCUAAAAUUAAGUUCUUCGAAUGGAAUCCAUGUCAGAAUAGUCUACCUACGACAGAUAACUUACACAAGCGAAAAAUAGUAUCGGAUCCUUACUGCUCACUGUGUAAAGACCAGGUGGAAUCUGGAGAGCGUCUCCUUCUCCUUAGUCCUUGGACGUGAGACAUAUGGGCUCAACCAUCCCUAAACAUUCAUGUUUCUUCCUAGGGGUCAAGCAAAAUAGAGAUAUGGCUAACGCAAUUCCUUAGAAGCACAGAAAACCCACCUUCUCUGGCGCUUGCAGCAACCAUCUCUUGGCUUAUUUGGACUUCCCGUAAUGACUUCAAGCAACCAUAGGGAGCUCUAACUUCUCUUGGCAAUUACAGGAGAUGCAAUUCAAAGCAGAAAAUCGGACCUUGACGUUCCCACCUCUUUUGAGAACUAGAAACUGCCAAAGGUCGGAUCUUUAAAGGUCAAUGUUGAUGGAUCCCUUCGUUGAAAGCUCCAUGGAAGGAGCAAUCACCUGCAUUAUUCGAAACUUAGAAGGGACGCUUGUGGAUGCACACGCAAUUAUCUCCCAAUGCCUUGUUCUGUCAUCCAGCUUCCCACAGCUGCAUGUCACCCAUCGCCAUCGUGAAACCAACUCCAUUGUGGAGGGACUGGAUUUCUUCCCCUCCCCAAAUCUUGUUGGAUUUACUUUGUAAGGAUGCCCAGUUCAUGGGCCCUGCAUUUUCAAAUUGAAUAAAAGUUAAUCAAUCAAUGACCCCAACAAAAAGGAAAAAAGAGGUAGGAAAUGUUGAUGAAAAUGGUGAUACAUCUCAACAAUGAAUUCUGUGACCUGCUUUAUUUACCUUCGAAAGGACAUGUGAAUCGUUUCCACUUGUGGCCAAAGCGCUCUGACUGAUCGGAGUUGUUUCUCUGCUGCAGUAGCGCAAUGAACGAUAUUCCAACAAGUUGCAUCGCCGAACGGCUUUUAGAAUUUUGACGCCGCGAUUCUUGGAGCUCUGUGAUUUCCAAAAGUUCAUCCGAAAUUGGCCCCCCAUCAUUCCGUAAGACCUUCGAACAGGUGUGGACAAUUUGUUGAGGCCUUGCAGUUGAUCCCUCAUUUUAGCUUCUACGCACAUUUUUGACUUUCUCCAGGCCCUGAACAUCGCCAAGCUUUGGACAAUGUUCAAGUCUCACGAAGUCGAGGUUAUCGAAGAGCAAGAGGCGCAGUAAUGUUUCGAUGGAAUCGCACCGGUUGGUAACCAAAGUUUUCAAAUUUUUCAACCUCUCAAGGCAUUUAAUGUCGACUAAAUUUUUGCAGCCAUAGACAUCUAUGGACAUAAGAUGUGUUAAUUGCGAAAUGUCGAGUCUUUCAAGGGAGUGACAGGAAUUAAUACGCAGUAUUUCCAAGUUUUUCAAUCUGCCAAGACAUUGAACUUGAAAUGGAUCAUCAUUCAUGAAUGGAGCAUGUGACUCUGUUAUGUCCAAUCUUCUCAAAGACUCUAAAUGUUCAAGGCCCUUGAGGUUGGACAACUUAUCGCAUCCACCUAUAGAUAGGUUUCCUAAAGAUUUUAGUCCUCCUAGACCCUUGAUUUCUAUCAGCUCACUGCACCCUUGGAUACUUAAUUUCAGCAAGAGUUUCAAACUUGACAAACUUGGCAACUCUUCCAACUUGCAACACCAGGAGACACCAAGCUUCAAGAUUCUUGAAGGAAGCAUUGGGAUGGAUUCAAGCAAUUUGCAGAACUGAAUACUGAGCUCUUUUAGAUGGAUUAAAUGAGAAAGUUGAGGUAAUGUGCAAUUUUGACAGGUGACUUCCAAAACUGAUAAGCUGACAGGAAGAUCACAAUUAGAUAAAUCAAGGUGUUGUUGAGAAGACGGGCUAGUGACGCUAUCCAGGCAUUCAAUAACCACCUCGUGCAUGGUCCAGAUAUCUUCAAUAUAAGAAAGCUUCCCCAAUCGAAGGAUCUUCAAUGAAGACAACCCAUUUAUAGGGAUUUCCCCUCCCAAACUUUUGCAAGCUAAGGCAUCUAAUUCUUCAAGAUUGCCCAACUUGCUAAUAGUACUGGGUAAACUACUCAAUUUUGUACACCCAACAAUAUUCAAAAUUUUCAAAAUUUUUAAGUCCCCGAUGGAUUUAGGUAAUUCCGAAAUUUUUGCACAUGUCAAAUGUAGUUCAGUCAAUAAUUCUAACUUCCCAAUUGAAUGGGGGAUAUGAUUUAAACGAUAAUUAUAAUCCCAAUACCAAUGAGUCUCCAAAUCAUCAUCUUCUUUAGGUGGAAGACACUCAUCGCCUAAUAAUAGGCAUUGUAAUUUCACAAGGGAUCCAAUACUCCCUGGAAAUCCUUCAAAAUUGGAGCAAAAUCUCGAGUCAAGGGUCAAUAAAUUUACCAGAUGGCUAAUUGAGUCAGGAAGUCCAACCAAUGAGUCGCAUGCUUGCGCACUAAGUAUCUCCAGCUUCUUCAAAGAACUUAUCCAUGGAGGAAUUUCCUUUAUACAAACUUCAUCUAUUAUAAGUUCCUUUAGUUCUUUCAAUUGACUUAUUUCUUUAGGCAGCUCUUGGAGUUGCCUACAUGUUGACAAGUUUAAAGAAACGAGGUUCCUCAAGUUACCCAAUUGUGAGGGCAACUCCCUAAGAUCCCCAUAGUCACUCAAGUUCAAGGAAACGAAGCACUUAGGGUGCGCAUGGUGAAAUUUUUGAAAUAGAAAUUGAUUUCUGGCCAGAAAUCAAUUUCUCAAUUUCUAUUCCCCGGACGAGUUUCUGAGCAAAGAAACCCGUUUGAUAACGACUCAAAAUUUCUAUUUCUGAAACAGAAAUCCGUUUGAUAACGACUGAGGACGCGAACGGACGAGGCGGGCCAAUGGAGAUGAGCGGCGAGGGCGAGGGCGAGAUGAGCGGCGACGGCGAGGAUGAACAGCUUCGGGGAGUCGCUAGGGUUUUUGGUUUUUGAGGUGAGGAGAAGGAAUGGGAAAGCUGUGGUAGUGAGGAGAGAAAAGGAGUCGACGUGUUUGCUGAAGAAGAGGGGGGUGGAUAGAAAAACAAUUUCUAUUUCUACUUCAGAAAUAGAGAAGCUAAAAUUUUAGCUUCUGAUUUCUCACCCAAAAUAAUUUCUGAAACAGAUUUCUAUUCCGGGGAACAGAGAAAUCAAUUUGCGUUACCAAACGGAUUUCUGUUCCAAACCUGUUCCGGGGAACAGAGAAAUUGAGAAAUUGAGAAACAAAAAUUUUACCAUGCGCAGCCUUAAUGGCUCCACAAAAUAAGAAUUAAGAAUGAUAAAUAGAAAGUUGUUCUUCCGACAAGGAUAUGUUAAAACUAGGUCGAUGACGUAUCCAUUAGCAACUUUCUCUGAUUCGAUUACUUUACCAUUCAGUAAUUCUCUGAGAGUUGCCAGCCCUUUUCGCUUGACCUCUUCGUCAAGUUUAUGCUCGUUGCGUCAGAACGCAUCUCCAAAGUGCCCCGUCAUGUAUUUUACAUUAUCCGUUGUCACCUUGUAAAACACAGGAUAGACUUUUUGUUUUUACUUUUCAUGCACUCCAUUAUUUGAUUGAUCUCGCGGAGGCACCAUUUGCUAGUAGCAUAAUUUUCUGAGAUAACUGGGAUUGAAACUUUAGAGCACUUGAUUGCAUUGAGAAGCGUUUCAAUUGGCUCGCCAGGGUCGAGGUUCUCAUCAUCUCUGAACAUGAAAUUUGGAAGGUGCAGGCCCACUCGUACAAGCUCAUGGUAGAGGUGAUCAACGAAGCCUUUUCGAGUAUCAAGACCUCUAAAACUCAAGAAUACGAAGUAAUUGUUUCCAAUCACAGAGGCGUACGAAGCAGAUGGCCCAGAAUUCUCUUCGGAAUCUGACAGCACAUCGAUCUCCUCUGGUGAGUUCGGAAGAGGCGAUCCGCUCCCGCGCUCAUCCGAUGGUCUUUGUCGCUUCCAAAUGGUCGAGCUCGAAGCUUCAGCAUCUGGCUUGCGUUUCCCAUCUUCCAUUGCAGCGCACGCUCUCUCUCUCUCUCUCUCUCUCUCUCUCUCUCUCUCACUCACAGAGACGCGACUAUUAUGGAUGGAUUUGAGCGGGCAAUAAUUUUUGGGCUAUCUCUAUGCUACACUUAUAGCGGGGCAGGAAAAGAGGAAGAAGGGAAAGCAGGAGGCAAGGCAUGAUUACUCGACUAUUCUGUAUAUUUUAAUCUCUCACAGUACGUUGGUCGUUUCAUGUAUUUCUUACAUUCACACGUGGAAUCUGGAGAUAACUUCAAAUUUGACUAAAAGCAACUCAGUCCUUGCCUUCUUGUGGUCCUCACUACCAUUUGGCUUGACAACCUUCCCCAUUGUUCCCAUUGGCUCUCAGGAGUCUCCAAUUUUGUCGCGGAUUGAGAAUUGCGCUCGAAUGAAUCCUCCAACUCAUGAAUUAUGUCCCGAAUUGGACGUUACACUUCACAUACGCGCCUCUUCCAAUAUUGUUAGGAUUUCGUCAAUGACCACAGUAAGGUACUUGCUAAGAAAUCAAUCGAGAGAAAUUUACAUUUUUCGUUAACUGUUCAUAUGUAAUGCAGAAUUUUAUUUGGUUAUCGCAGUAUUUGUACUCUCGUGUUAAAUGGUUAUGGAUGCAACAUACUCUUAUGGGAGUGGGAUUUUUAAUUUAGUGAAUGAACUUUCAUCACUCCUAAGCGUUCUAAAAAAAAAGAAGAUAAAAUGGGCCUUUUAUAUAAUUGACACGGAAUAAAAUUAAAUUUCUUCAACCCGCCAUCGAAUAAAAUCGGUUCCUUGCAUUAUCACAUGAAAGAUAGUGAAAGAUAUGUCAAUCAGUACUUAUUAUUUGGACAAAUUUGAGUAGCACGUUGCGGUUCUAUGUCAAUUUACAGGAUUUUUCCUUUCUUUUUCUUUUUAACAUUUGUAUUCUCUAUUUAACAGAUAAUUUAUUAUAUAAAAAAGGUAUGAUUUACCCUCACCCCUUUUAAGGAUUUUCAUCUAGAAUUUAUUAAAUGCAUCUCGAACUAUGGAUUCAAAAUCAAACUCGGGCUCCGUAUCCACUUCCAUUUUUGUUCAUGAUCUGAUUAGUUUUAAGUGGAAUUAAAACGCGAGAGAACAAAAGGAUAGAGGGGGUAAACAUCAAUUCUUCUUUUCCCCGAAACCGUACCCACGACGAAUCCCACCCCCACUGCAACGUAUUCGAGGGACCAUCCUAGUAUUUUUUAUUUUAUUAUUUUCGAUUUUCCGAAUUUUCUCUGGGCCAGAACGGAAAUUUCGGGAGCGGAACUAUGCAGUCGCAAAUCACGCAUGACUUGUGCGGCAUGAGUAAGAGUCUGACGUCAGAGUUCGUUUGGCAUUUUUAUUAACGAAAUGGUUUUUAAGGGCCAAUUUGAUAAUGUACCAAACAGUAUUUAAUUUUUUGUUGGACUAAAAAAAGAACAAAAAUUCGUUUGGUAACUUUUUAAUUCCUGAUAAUAGAUUAAAACAAAAUCAAGAAAUUGAAAAAAAAAGUUACUUCUUUAUUCCUAGGAAUAACUCCAAAAUCAAGCCAAAUCAUUUUUUUUUUCUCUUUUUCUUCCUUUAGCUGGUCACAAAAAUAUAAUGAAAUUAUAUAAUAAAUUAUUAAAAAAUUAAAGAAAGUUUGAAAAACAUAAUAAAAUUAUAACAUAAAAUUAUAUUAAAAAUAUGAUAAAUUUACAUAAUAAAAGUAUUAAAAUAUUAAAAAAUUCAAAUUCGUAAAAAAUUUAAAGGUUGUAUUAAAUGCAUUUCUAUUCCAAGUAUAUAAUUUUUUAGCAAUUAUGAAAUGCAUUCAAAUGCUCAGAAAAUCAUCUAGGGAAUAGAAUAAAAAAGAAUCAUUUAUGAGCAGAAAUUAUUAUUUAAGAAAAGAAUGGUUACCAAAUACACCCUAAGACUCCCACAUAUCGGCAUCCUUAGUUUGAACUAAGAAGUUCUAUUUGUUAUUGAAUCCUUUCGGAUGUUAAUAAUUAAAUAGUGAACACAUCAAAAGAAUGUCAUGAAGGCACCGAUCAAGCAUACUUAAUUUGGAAUGAUUUAAUAUUACUGAUGCUGCAUGACACAUGAACACUUGACGGAAAAUGUAAAUUUCCCUCGUUUGAUUGCUUAGCAAAUACUGUGAAUGCGGUCGCUGACCAAAUCCCGACAAAAUUGGGGGAGGUACGUAUACUUAUUAUGAAAUAACUACCAUGAACUGAUGCAAUUGAUGUCAUUAGAUAAAAUAAAGUGGGUAAUUGACCUGGACUUAGUCGUUGCCUCCUAGGCAUCAUCCAGUGAAUGGGAGUCAACAGACAUGAGCAGAUUUUAUUCUUAAAUAUACACCACCAAUUUCGUUAGCCCGUGCUACAGAUGGAGGAUCGUUUAUGGUUUAAAUUGUGUUAGUCUUUUUUGGCCACAAAUUUAAUAUGAUAUCCGAAAAAGGACACAGAUGAAAGAAAGAAAAGGACGUGGUAGCUAUAUUGCCGCUUCAAUUACAUUACCAUUAUAUUGGCCUAUGGACUUGUGCUAUACACAGGAAAAAGACCCUGUGAAAUAGAUUGCGUGAAAUAAUUGUUCUAGGAGUCUGGAUCAUCAUGAGAGUAAGAGAUUUUCGUCACAUUAGAAGUAAUUACAUGCCCCAUGAACUAAAAGGGAAAAAUUUUAGGUUCAAUGAAGGUGGAAAAAUGAAAGGGAAAUCUUUACAGAAGAAAGUUGAGAUAAAUAUCAAUCAAGAGAGGGCCGAGGACGCAUUGACGACUAUUCGACUCCAAAGAAGCCUGAUUGCACCACUCGAUUCGUUCUGAUAACUAUGUUGCUCCCACUACUUUGCAGCUCUUGCUCAUUUGAUUCUUGAUUGGAACAUCCUUAGUUUGGCGAUAUUCAUUCUGCUCCUGCUCUCCAUCGCAAAUUUCAGCACCAAAAUUUGCUUCACUUUCUCAGUUGAAGAACGCAACAAGUUUAGGGUUUGAAGAAGUAAAUAAAUUUAUCCCCAGUUCAUUAAUUGGUGGGCAAAUAACACACAUGGACGAUAUAUUUCAGUACUAUUGUUGCUGAUUCACUUUAUCGGCAAGCCAUGUCCAACAAUUUAUAAUAAAAUAAUAUUACGUCGGAUUUUUCAGCUACACGAAUUGCCAACUAAAGCAAUCAAUCUUUCAUGUGAAUGAUAAUCAAGUAAUUGAGAAAAUAAUUACGUUAUUAAAGUGAGCAUCAUAAGAAAAUUAAGAUAAUCAUGGUAUUAUUAUUUCAAUUUGCAAUUGAAGGUAUCGAGCAUUUACAACUUCAAAGGAAUUUUUUUGACAAAAAGGAGCAACUUCUUUUUCUUUUUUCUUUUAUUCCAUGAUCAAUCGACCUAUAAAGUAUAAACAGGUGAGGAGACGCAUCUCGUAAUCUCGCGGACUCGGAUUGCUUUUUGCGGGCUCCUAGUUUUUCCUCGAAAUUUCCUUACUAUUGUUUUUUUCUUCCUUUUUCUUUUUUUGAACUUCUAUGGCUUUCCCUGACAUUGACAAGGGACGAUGCAAGUCCUUAGUGCGUUCCCAAUCGCUCGAUAUAUGCAUUAUGUACAUCGGCGACAAUGACAUCCCACCGAUCUGAUUUUCGGGUGGCCUUAUCGACAUCUUCGUGAAGAAUCCACCUACUUGAGUUUUAAAAAUAAUAAUAAUAAAUUUUGAACAAGAAAAGAAAACAGAAAAAGGGAGGAUGCAUGUACAAAUAUUAUUGAUUGAUAAUCUUCAGUGGAGCAAGCGACAAAAUUACAUAUCAUAAACAAAAUUGAUCUAGCUGUACAGAAGUAAGUGCGUGCCGAUAAUUGGCUAAUGUGACGCCGAUAAUACCGGUGAUUAUGUCACGCGUAAGAUCGACGACAGGCCAUUUGUUUAGCCUUGGUUCGAGAGUCACCUCUUGGUGCGUCAAAAGACAGCCGAUUGUGUCGUUGUCGACAACUGAAGCCGAGCAUCGAGCUGUAUCCGUGGCAGCUCAAAAGCACCCCUGGUUAGCGCAAUUGCUGAAGGAUUUGCACUAGAAAAUUAAUGAGUGCCUCGUGAGACUAUACAAUGACGAUCGAUUGGCGAUUCGACUAAUAGAGAACUGAGUGAUUCAUAUGAGAACGAAGUACAUGGAAGUCCACUGUCACUUUGUGGAUGAGAAAGUAGUAAGUGGAGAGAUUGAAAUGAAGUUCACCAAAACAAAUUAACAAGUUGACGAUAAUUUCAUGGAGGGACAUAUCAAGAUCCAAGCUGGCAGAAUUUCAAAAUAGUUAGGCAUCACAAACAAGCUGCAUUAGAAAUCAAAGAUUGAUACUCGCGCUGGUGUCACCUGACUUGUAAUAGUACCGAACCGACAUAGUGGGAGGCACGAAAUGAACUUUUCAUCGGCCAAAAUAGAGAGUAGAAAAAGCAUGGUAUCAAAUAGUAUAAGCAGCUUUUGACAGAUUUUGAAACAGGAUCCAUUUAUAGUUGCUGUUUCAAAGCUUCAUUCGCUAUGAGUUAAGUCAAUUUUGGAAAGUCCCAGUUACUCCAAUGUGAAUAUCUGGAUCCCGUAGUGAUUUGCGCGAAGCAGUGUGUUCUGCCAAUCUUUGCCUUGCUCUACUAAUAACCGCUACCUGCAAAAGGCGUCCUUCCAAGGUCCCUAGGCAACGGAAAUGGAAUGGGAUUCGACGAGCAUGUUAGCUGUUUGAUUAAGAGAGGAAGCUGUGCACUUUUAGAUGCAUUCUAUAAGCUACUUGCUUAGGUGGUCCAGUUAGGAACAUUCCGGGAAAACUACAAUCCUUCGUUAAGAAUAAGUUCCUUCAAAGUCUCAAGCACUAGAGAAAAAUUAUCAUUCAUAAAAAGUUACUGAUGAUGAGAGCCUAGAUGACUGGCACUCAUUCUCAUAUACAAAUGUUAUUCUACUAGCUAUAGAAAGAUCCCUCAUUAAUACGAGCCCAUUGACAAAAACCAUGCUUUCAUUGGUAAAAUUACUAAACAUUAGUAUCCCCAAAGGUAUGGGCAUUUGAGGAAAAUCACUAUCUUACACGUACUUUAUUUAAAUGAUAAUCAUCCAAAGUUAUGCCUUUCAAGGGUAAAAUUGAAAUGAUUCUUUUAUGGCUGUCUUCCAAUCUUUUAUGUAUGUCAUUCACACGUUAAAUCUGGUCUGAUCUUAUUUUAAUGUACUCGGAAAAGAAGGAAAUGAAUUUUCUCAGUUCGUUUAGACAAAAGGCAAAAUUAGGUGGGUUUCAUGCACUAUAUUCAAAAUUAACGCAACUUGGUCGGCAAGUUGGCAAGAAAUUUUAAAGUUGGUUCUCAUCAUAUUUUAAUAACGAUGAUGAAGACAAACUGCAGAGUUGGCAAGAAAAGGACCUGCGCAGCGACAUCAAAUUGACUUUAAUCUGCUUUUUAUUCCGCUAAAGUUGCAUCAAAUUGACUUUAAUCUACUUUUAUCCGCUAAAGUUACAUCAAAUUGACGUCCAUUAAUAUUUUAUCCAGCUAAAGUUACAAGUUUCAUCAAAUCGACACCUAUUAAUUUUUUUAUUCCAAAGAGCAGGUACUAAAAGUUACGAGUGACCCGUUGAAGUCUUUGUUUGAUGUUUUCUUUUGAGCAAACUUCCAGCUGUCGUUCAGUGGCCAUUAAAUAAUUACCAAAAGAAAGAACUGUAUCUUCCUGGAUUUUUUUCUUUUUUGGUAAAUUGGGAUUUCGAAUCUUCAUCAUUUGUGUUUUUGUUGACUGAUUUGAUCAGUCACAAUUGUAUCUUUGAAAUCUAGGUGAGCACUCAGCACAAGCGGUAGCAGCUAGGGGUUUGCAUGGUCCGGUAGGCAGUUUCCGACCUAGAAUCGGGAACCUCCCGCUAAGGAACAGUUCCAAAAAAUUGGAAUCGAAAAUCGCCCGCUAGUUAUAUGAAUCCAUCCGAGAACCGGACCGCCGAUCUGAUUUGGUUUCCAAGUGGAUCCAUGGAACCGGCCUCACCAACAAUAAUAUCAUUUUCCAAAUCCUGCCGAGAGUACUUUUCAUAUCGAGUUAUAUUUUUUUUUAACUCGAACCGACUUAAUUAAAGGUACCAUUUUUCUUUAUUUUAUUGGAAAACACUACCAAAUAAGAGAAAUAGGCUUUUUCCUAUUUUUGAAUCAUUUCAGUCGAAAUCUAAAAUAUUUUUUAAGUUCAAAGUUUUGGAUAAUUGUCAUUUGUAAAUAGUAUUUUCCUUUAUCCUCUAACAAUGUUCAAUCUCUUACAACAUUUGCUUUACUGAAUUAUUUUGGUAGAAACAAUUUCACCGGUACUCCACAUAUUCUUAAAUACACUGUCCUAUGUGCAUCCUGAAAAUAUCCUUUGAAUGAGCCAUUUAUUGAGUUGCUGAAAGGCAGCUUAUACACUUUACUAAAUUUGUCACGCCCCGAUCCUCGGGGACGCGCUCAUCCUUCUCCUGAGUCGAUUAUUAAAGUGCGAUAUCCCAAGACUAAUUAUCGCCGACCCUUUUUUUUUAUUACGCAUACGGAAGCAAUUAUAAAUCCCCAGACAAUAAAACAAUGGGAUAGAAAAGCAGGCCAUUUUUUUCAUAUUGAAAUUCACAACCACACUUUUAUUCACAGCACAACUUAUAGUAUAUUUACAAUACUAUUUACAGCAUAAAAGUCUCACACCUAUCUACACUAAGAUAGGGUUCACAAAGGGAUGGGAUCUCAAUCCACAUCUGGGUUGUACUCAAGAUCCCUCUCUGGAUCAUUUUCUACUUCAAAAUACUUUCUCCCCUUCAGGUUCUUCCUCCUCAGCUUUUCCUCAGGGUCCUAAAAUGGUUAUUCAAUAACCAAUGAGACCACGUAUCAGCGAGUCUUACCCCUAAGACCCGAUUAGUAAACUAAUACGCCAAACGGUUGCCUAAGCACAACACAAGUUAGAAGACUUACCUUGGCCUCAGUUCCAACCUGCAAUUCAAGGUUAAACACAGAUAUUCAAGUAAUUCAUGACAUCCGAUCAAGCACUGGCCAAUCGACUAAGUCGAUUACAUGUCAACCAGACCCUCUCUAGGUCAUUCCCACUCAUACCACGAUUUCCCAGUGGUGUACUCAUUCAUCAAAUCACAUGUGUUUCUCGGGCGUCGUUUUCGCCAAUGACAUACUGAUCACCGACACCGUGCAUUCUUUAAGGCGCCGUUUUCACCAGUGAUAUCCUCGAUCACCGAACCACGUGUCCUUUCUAGGGUGCUGUUUUCGCCAAGGUGACAUCGGCUAUAGACAACAUCGUGAGUUCUUUAAGGCGUCGUUUUCACCAGUGAUAUUUCCUUAAUCACCGAACCACGUUUGUCCAUAAGUCAUUUACGUGCGUUCUUUAAGGCGCCGUUUUUGCCAGUGAUACUUCCAAUCACCGAACCACGUAUAUCCAAUAAUAUCGUACCUGAUUGGUCUCAACCAAUAAUGUUCUCAGUUAGCUCUCACUAUUCUCUCUACUAUAUAGCCCAUCAACGUACUGGCGCUAUAUAUCCAUGCUCGGCCAUUACCAAUCAAAUACUCAAUAACAAACAAUUUGGGACAAUUCCUCAAAUUUCACAAUUUAAAUCAAUUCCAUAAAAAUUGAAGCUCAAUUAAAUAAACGGACUGCACCACGACAAUCGGCACGAAAUUCCGGUCACCGGCCAUCCCGGUUGAAUUUUCGGAAAAAUAAUUAAUUAAAUAAUUAAUUUCGAAAAAUAAAUAAAUAAAUAUUAAAAAUCUAAUUUAGGCUCGUAAUGCCUGAUUGGAGCCCGAAACCGGUCGGGAAAAAUCCUGAGAUACAUUCAAUAAAUAAUAGAGCAUUUCUACUCCCUAAUGGCUAUAGCUAACCACCUAACAUGCAUCCUCAAGUUACUAAUUUAAUUGUUCUAAUCUAAUCUAACCACCUAAUUGCAAUUAAUUAAAUCUAACCAACCCUAAGAAUAAUUAGCAAACUAAUAAAGCAUUAGUGAGUAAAACUCACUUGAUCAAAAGCGGGGAUCGAAUCACCGCAACGGCGACGCGACGGGGGCCGAAAUCGGACUUUCGACGACACCGGCGGACUUGAACCGGGCCUUAGGCUUGGCCCAACAAAUCUCAGCCCAAAACUAGGCUUGAAGACUACAAUUGCUGAAAAUGGGCUUCAAUUUGAUUUACUGGAAUUGGGCCCACUGUUGAGCUUUAAUUGGUGCGGUCUUGGAAUUGGGCUGCAGCUGGUGAAUUUCGACUGGGCUUGAAGACAACUGGGCUGCACGUUGAACUGGAGUGGCUGAAUUGGACUGGACUGGGCUACAACAAAAAGGCCCGAAUUGUUGAUGAAGAUGGGCCCACAACGCUGGACUCCGGUGGGCUUCGCACGGUCAGAUGAAGGCUGUUCAAUUUCACACUCGCAGCUUCGUGUAGUUGAUGGCGAAGACACGCGAACGCUGGUCAACGAAGGCUUCACCCGGUGGAAAUUCGACUGAGAUGGGGGCGUGCCGGCGUGGACGAUGGAGGAAAAACAGCGUCGAAGAAGCGGUGCCGUUGAUCUUCAAGCGUUGCCGCUCUUCAAGCUUCGCUGGCGGACGUGUGGAGUGGAGCUGAGGGACGCGCGGAGGAAAGCUGCAGUGUUCUAUCGCUGCUGAGUGGGUAAUCGGGCUGUGCGGACGUGGCCGAAGCUGCCGGAAAUCACGACUUCGCUGGCGUGUGGCUUCUUCGGUGGUGUUGCUCGGUCAACAAGUGCUUCGCUCGGUGGAGAAUUUGACCGAGAUGACGUGUGGAGAAGCACCUGGCUUCUCUGGACGUCGUGGCCGUGCUGACAAAAGGGCGUGGAAGAUGGAGCAGCUUCGGUUGCUGCCUCGGCGUCUUCAACUCGAUUGCCGACUGGUACAGCGAAGUGGAAGAUGGAUGGAGUUGAGGACUUCGGUGGGAUCUUGGCGUCGAAGCCAGUCAAUUCUUUUUGUUGAAAUGGACUGUUCGUGUGGCAGAGGGAUGAACGAAAAUGGAGAAACACUUUGGUGGAAUUCGUAGGCUUCCUCGGUGAGAGAGAGAGAGAGUUCACGAAUAUGGAUAGGAACGGAGGAGAAGGCAGAAGCGGUGAUGAUGGAGACAGCGACGGGAGGGACCCAAAAUCACAAACCUAAGCCAUUCCCUUAAUUGCUUGUCCCCCUCCUUUUUCUUUAUCCUUAUCUUGGUUGGUCUCUAAUACUUUCUUGUAAAUAUCUUUAUAAACCAAUCAAAUUUGAAGCCUAAAAUUGCUGCCACUUUCCAAUCCGAAUUUCACAUUUUGAUCUUAAACUUCAUCACUCAAUUUCCCAAAUUCGAUGUCAAAUUUUGGUGUAGAAAAAUCCCAAAUGAUUUUCUAUAAAUCCCUGACACACAACGGCUCAGUCUAGAAGUCCAAUUUUCUAUCAAUUUAGCCAAUUUGAACUUCUGCCAAAUUUUCGCAACGUCCGAACCCAAUUUCUGUAAAAUUUCCCGAAUCUCCGAAAAAUCUUCUGAGACUGACUCGAUGCUCCUAAAAUUUAUUGUGACAUGGCCAAAACUUCAAUUUUUGAAAUCGGAUUCGAAUUGGUGGUUAAUUUUCAUUCGGCGCGUUUUUAGCGUGACCUAAACUAUCGGGUAGUUUUCAGAACUUUUUAAGGCAAAUGACCCGUGGUCGAUUUUCUUCGAGCCACUAUGAACCCACUCGACUCAAUGGUGACUCUUGAUUGUCGUGAAAAUCUCGAGAAUUCAAUUACGGACACAGGGUACCAAAACAAUAAGAAAAUCAGUCUAGUGUCGGCCGACGAGAAUUUUCUAAUUCAGUGGUGUCACCCCCGAUUAGUCACAUAUCUCUAUCGAUCCAGUCUAUCUCUGAUUUCAAAUCGAUUUUUAACUGUGCCGUAGUGACCUCUAAAGAUAGACAUGAUCAAGAAGCCGAUUCCUGAUCGAGUUCUCAAGUCUAUUGCCUUAAAAUUCCUUAAUCAUUUCCCCAGAUAGUCUAGUUAUCUCGAGAGUGAUUGGCUCUGAGAAUAACCCUAUAGGCGCGUUAAUGAAAUGCCCGAUUUAUUCAAUAGAAGACGGGGUUAAAGAAUCUGGAUGUCACAAAAUUCUUAUAAAAACAUGGAAACCAUGAGAGGAGAUGGAGUCCUAAAAUUUAGAUUUGCUAAUUAGUAAUUUUGAAAUUUAUUUUAAUAUUAAAAAUUAAUAUAUUAUUAUAAUAUAAUCGGUCCAGUCCGAGUGGAUGGAUUUGCCUAUGGAACUGGAAACCGGAACAGUACCCAUCGGUUUCCAUUAAUUGGAACCGAGAACUGGACCAGUUCCCUCAAGAACCACGGGUUCCAAGCGGUUCCGGUUUGGUUCCGAGCAGUCCGAGCGGGUCCCGAUUAUUUUGCACACCCUUAAUAGCAACAUCAUUUCCUUUUUGAAAUCUCUCCUCUCGCAAACCUCGCCUUAAAUUCUUCAAUUCAAUAUCUUUUUUAUGUUGUGAAAUAGUACCUCAAAUUGAUUAAGAAAAUAAAGUAUUGCUCUGAUUGAUUGAUGAAGUGACUAUUAUGUCUAAUUAUAUAUAACUUAGUAAUUUAUGUUUGGGAGUAAGUUAAGUUAGGUGAACCCCACAUUUAGUCAAAACAAUAGUAGAAUAUAAGGGUCCAAAGAUUUUCUUGAAAAUAAUGGAUGCAUAUGGCGUAUAAAAAAGGGACAAUUUCACCGUUGGUCACCAAUAUUCUUGAUGAAAGUUCAAUUUGAUGGCUGAAACUUUAAUUUUGUUUAAUUUCGCUAUUUAUUCUUUGAAUUAGAUCAAUUUAAUUCCUCUAAUCAACUUAGUCAUGUUGGCCCCUAAUGUAAUAAUUCAUCUCCAUCGUGAGACCUGCCAUCGCUAGCCUGAUUGGGUUGUCUAGAGCCACAUCAGCAAAAUCUAGAAACCAAAUGGGGAGAGAAUUGGGGGAGGGAGAGACAAGUAGGCGAUGGGAGAUGGGCAAUGGUGCUCGAUUCCUAAUUUUAAAGCAAUAUAGAUAUUAGAGUAAGUUGAUCUCAAAAUUUUUCGAGUAUGUGUGUGAAGAAGUGAGUUAAUUACUUUUAGUUAAAAUAAAGUGAUAAAGUUUGAAAGAAGAAAAUAAAAUCUUAAUGGAUUUGUUGAUCCAUAAGUUUAUGGCAGGUAAUAUGGUACAAGUACAUGAAUUUCUUUCAAGUCACUUGAUGUCUCGGGUAUAUGCUCAUGUUGACUUCCAUUAAUAUUUUAUCAAGCUGAAGUUACAAGUUUCAUCAAAUUGACACAUCAAAUUUUUUUAUUCCAGAGAGUAGGUGGUGAAGUUACGUACGACCGACUGGGGUCUUUGUUUAAUGUUUUCUUUUGGACAUUGCAGUAAAGUAGGGCUAUAAUCUCUAGGACCAGCAGUAGAAUAAAGGUUCUGAAAAAAACAGUUGGUCAUGUCUUCUUCUUCAAUAGAAGCCUUUGUUUAAUGCUUUCUUUUGGGCUAACUUCCAAGCUGUCACUCGGUGGCGAUUAAAUCAAUACGAGGAGAAAGAACAGUAUUUCCCCAAGAUUUCGAAUCGUUAUUAAUUGUGUUUUUAUUGACUAAUUCGAUCAAUCACAUUUGUAUCCUGAAAACCCGGGUAGCACUUAGCAUGGUUAUUUUCCUUUUUGACAUCUCUCCUCCUUUCGCAUAAUCUCACUUGGAAAUCUUCAAUUUAAUAUAUCUCUCCCUCCUGAAAUAGUAUCUCAAUUCGAUAUAAAGAAAAUACAGUAUUGCUUUGACUGAUUUUUGAAGUAUAACCUUGAUAUAAUUAACUGUCGAAGAACGAAGUGACUAUUAUGUCUAAUUAGAUCUACUUAGUAAUUUAUGUUUGGGAGCAAGUUGAAUUAGGUGAACUAGGCAUUUAGUCAAAACAAGAGUAAAAUAGAAGCGUUUAAAUAUAUUCUUAGAAACAGACCAAUAUAUAUAUUCAUAGGAAAAAAAAUUCUUAAAAAUAAUGGAUACAUAUGACGUAUAACAAGGGGGCAAUUUUAAAGUUGGUUCCCAGUACUCUUCAAUCUGAUUGCUAAAGUUUAAUUUUGUUUGACUUGGCUUUUUUUUUUUUUUUUUUUUUUGGAAAAGCGAUUUACUUCAUUCAAUAAAGUUCAAAGGAUAACAUAAGUUAUGGGUUUUUGCACCUAAAAGAUCCCAUAGAGGUGAUGAUGGCACUAUAAGCCAAUUGUGAGGAAGAGCCUUCUUGCUAUGGGUUUUGGCGAGCCAAUUUGCAACUUCGUUUGAUUUCCUUGGGGCGGAUGCCGGUUCCACCAAACUGGAUCAGGCGAGCAUCUCUUUACAUUCUUCAAUAAUGGGUCUCAGCUCCCAUGGGCUUGGGUUUUGGCCCACUAUCAUCUUCACAAGUGAUAAAAUGGAGAACUUACGCAAGCGAAAAAUAGUACCGGAUCCUUACCGCUCACUGUGCAAAGACUGGGCGGAAUCCACAGGGCAUCUCCUUCUCUCGUCCUUCGACAAGAGACAUAUGGGCUUAACCAUCCCUAAACAUUCAGGUUUCUUUCCAAGGGUUAAGCAGAAUAGAGAUAGAGCUAACGCAAUUCCUCAAAAGCACAGAAAACCCACCUUCUCUGGCGCUUGUAGUAGCCAUCUCUUGGCUCAUUGUAACAACUUCGUCUUUCGAAAGAAACCCCCCGACCCAGCUCAGCCAUCUCUUGGCUCAUUGUAACAACUUCGUCUUUCGAAAGAAACCCCCCGACCCAGCUCAAGCACUACAAAGAGCUCUAACUUCUCUCGGCAAUUGCAGGAGAGGGAAUUCAAAGCAAAAUAUCGGACCUUGACGCUUCCACCUCUUCUGAGAACUGGACACCCCCCAAAGGUCGGAUCUUUAGAGGUCAACAUUGAUGAAUCCCUUCGUCGAAAGCUCCGUGAAAGGAGCAAUCGCCUGGGUCAUUCGAAACUCAGAAGGGGACGCUUGUGGACGGCUUCGCAAGAGGAGGAAAUGCCGAUGAAGUAGGCGAUGCUGAUGAAGUAGGCGAUACAUCUCGACAAUGAAUAGCGUGACCUGCUUUUAUUUACCUUUCAAAGGACAUGCGAGUCAUUCCGACAUCGUGGCCAGAGAGCACUCGAUAGGUCGGAGCGUUAUUUUCACGAACCGAUUGUUUCCCUGCUGCAGUGGUGCAAUGAACGAUAUUCCAACAAAGUCGCAUCGCUGAACGUCUACUAGAAUUUAGACGCCUUGAUUUCUGGAGCUCUGUGAUUUUCAAAAGUUCAUCCGAAAUUGACCCCCCAUCAUAUUCCGUAAAACCUCCGAAAUUCGACGGGUGUGGACACAAUUUGUUGAGACCUUGCAGUUGAUCCCUCAAUUUAGCUCCUAAGCACAUAUUUGACUUUCUCCAUGCCCUGAACAUCAUGAAGCUUCCAACACCCUCUAAUGCCCAAAUGUAGGAGGUUAUGGAAAAGCAAGAGGUGCAGUAAUAUUUCAAUGGACUUGCACCCCUGGAUACUCAAAAUUCUCAAUUUUCUCAACCUCUCAAGGCAUUUAAUUUCAACUAUAUUUUUGCAUUCAGUGACUAGUAAUUCCACCAUAAGUGUUAAUUGCAAAAUGUUGAGUCUUAUGAGGAACUGGCAGGAAUCAAUACGUAGCAUAUCCAAAUUUUUCAAUCUACCAAGGCAUUGAAUUUGAAAAUACAUCAUCAUUCAUGAAUGAAGCAUCUCUCCCUUUAAGUUGGGUGUCUACCCCCACAAUCUCUUUUGGCUGUUUUUUGCUUUGAUGCUCAUCUAGGUUGUUCUUCUAUUUUAUGUACAUGAAAUGAAAUGACAUGUUUGAGUGGCCCAAAAAAAAAAGGGGCAUUGGAAAGGCCUGAAAUAAAAGUUGAGAACGCUUCACAAAUAAAGAGAAAAAGCGGAGAGGCAGCUUCUCCGUUGAGUGCGUGAUCAUAUGAGCUGGUUUGCUCUAUACUUGUUUUUAUGUGUCAUGCAAGAAAAUAAAUUGUUUGCUCUAUACUUGUUUUUAUGUGUCAUGCAAGAAAAUAAAUUGUAAUAGUAAGUGAGAGAUUUUACUAUUGAAUGUGUGUAAUAAUCGUGUGACAAUUAUUUUGUUUGUGUGUUAUAUUUGUACCUCAUUUUCAUACAUGUAUGUCUCGAGUUGUCUAUUAUAACUUUCUCACAUUACCACCACCAUACAUCCAUGCCCAACAAAAUUGUAUGAAAAAUGAUAUCUACUUUUAGAAAGAAUUUCACUCCAAGUUCACCUCAAGACGAUUUUCCAAUGAAAAUGGUAUCUACUUUUGUUCCAAACCCGAUUCACCAUUAGAACCGACAAAUAUAAUUGGAGAAGUUUAUCAUUGUUAAGAAAUUGAUUUUCCUUUUCUAUUGACUACUUUUGAUAUAUCCUAGGUUAAUCAUCUUGACUUCCAACUUUUUGGUAAUAUGUUAUGAUCUUUUCGAGGCAUAUUUUUGCCAAAAAUAAAGAACUGAGAUGACUGGACAUUCAAGAUCCAACUAUGCGAUCCUUUGAUGACACAAAUCAUUCUCAAUAAUCUUGGCUUUCUCACAUCUUUAAUCAGCCUAAUACUUGACUUGGAGGAAUCAUCACUUUCUCUAGGACCCCUUUCUUCAAAUCAAUUUUGAUGUCCUAGGCAUAAUUUUUAUGAUUGGUAGUGAGUAUUUUUUAUCUGAUUCCAAAAGUUAAAAUACUCCGAUUCCAUGUUAUGUUAGGAAUUUCACAUAUUAUACCGUUUGACUGUGUUAAUGAUAGAAAUGAUCAAAUGUCUUCCUUAGAAUUGUAUGCAAUCACUUGUAUGGGCAGUUAAACUGUUUCUUUUUCACCGAUUUCGAGAAAGGACGCGUUCAUUGUUGCAAUUACAAAGAUUCAUUGUCCAUGUUUUUAAGUCAUUUCUAGAAAAUGUCAAUUCUACCACCGACAGCGUUCAUAUUUUGAAGCGUAAUUCUCGAUGUAGCGUGCUCUGCUAAUCUUUGCCUCCCCUGUAAUUCUCAAUAGAAAUACAACUCUUUGUGUAUUUGUUCCUUUAUGUAACCUAAGAAAUCUCUUUUUGUUUCAUUAAAAAAAAAUAGCCACUCGAAUUAAAACGAAAACUAACAAAUAAAAGGAUAACUAUCAAAAACUCUCUUUCGUAAAGAACAUGGUUAACUCACAAUUGUGGAACUAUACAACUGAAACUAUCCAAUUCACCCAAAACAUGAUUAUUAAUCACAAUAAUUAUAAUAAUUACCAGAUGCAACAUUUUUUCUUACUCAAAUGAAUAAUUUUGCAGAGCAAAGACUGUAGCAGAAAAUGUGAAUCCGAGUUAUGCUCAAAUAUCUAGUGAUGCUUGCUCUUCUCUAUUAAAAAAAAAAAAUCAUUUUUUUGGGGCAUGAUGCGAUGAAGGAUUUGUCGAUUAAAUUGGAGCUUCUUCUUUUUUCGUGGUUGAUUAAUUAGUAUUGAACAUAAAAAAGAACUCAUUGAAAAUGACACAGUGCCUCCAUUUCUGAGAUAUGGCAAGUAUUGUGGGCUCCUGUAGGAGAGGCCCUACAACGACCUUGACGCUUGUUGCGUGAAGCACGACACUGAAUUCAAGCCAAAAACAGUGAGUCUCGGCAUCGAUUCCUUCAACUUUUCUUCGUUGAAUCGAUUGAUAUAACUAGUCGUUGGCCCGCGUGUUUGCAUGGAUGUAUUUUAAGAGGACGAUUGUGGAAGCCAUUUUCGUUGGUGAACAAUAGCUUUACUCGUCUAUAUAUGCAUGGAUUCACACUCCUAAAAAAGCAUAUUACAGAGUGGAGAUAGAGAAAAUGGGGUAAGGGACUAAUUGGUCAAAAGAAAGAAGAGACGUGAGUAAGAUUAAUGUGCCUACGAGGACUUUGCUCUUCCACAAUGUCAUUAAACUAUAUCUUCAUUCAUGAGCCAACUUUAAUCGCUAUUCUGAGGUCUGGGGGAGGAGAUUGUGAGGGAGUAAAUGCUCCUGUGAGGGCAAUGACAUCAACAUUUGCUUUUUAUUACAAAAAGCGCACGUCUAGAUUUUCUCUUUCUCAUGGACUGGUCGGGGACAAUAACUUCAACUAAUACUCUGGCUCGUCAAAUGUGCUAAGUGAUGACAAUGAAAUCAUAUCGCGGGAUUUCUCAAUUUGACCUUUCAAAUGUGCUAAGUGAUGACAAUGAAAUCAUAUCGCGGGAUUUCUCAAUUUGACCUUUCAUUCAUAGAGCAGGUAGUGUCAUCCUCAUAUAAAUAUUGGAAUUGUGACGCGCGGGGUGUUGUGCUGAUGACUAUUUGAGCCAGAAGUGCAGCCAAAACUUACUGAACUGCAUGACCAACUUCAAGAACUCCAGAGGGAGAACGUUUAAAGGAAGCAAAUGCGAAGUUGAGGAUGUCGACGUCCUGUCCAUUGUCAUGGAAGCUGCGUUGCUUGCCGGGAGAUACCUCCACAAGCCCUGAAUCUCUCUGUCCACGUUCCACGGAUAUAUCAACUCUGAUCCCUUCGCUCACUUCGUGAUCAUCCCUUUCUUUGAUUUUUUUUUCCCUUCCGGUCACCACCAAAUGAAGAACGAACAGAAGGAUGCAACUUCGAUACGUAAAGGCAUGAUGAAAAAUAAGAGAGCGCAACAUGAUUCCUACCAGUUUUUCCACCGUGCAGUAUGCAACUUUUGACAGGAUCAAAGCCAUAAAUCCACCAUCAGAUUGAGAAAUCUAUGUAUUAGCAUCUCAAUUGACAGAGGGCAGAAUCCAUGGAAAUUCAACAUCUCAACAUAAGUGUCUUGGAUCCGAGAAAAGUAAAAUUCUUACAAUGGUGCCUCCAGUGACUUAUCAAUCCAUGACAAAAUAACUGGACAUAAGCUGCUAAAAAUGCUAUCACGGCCACAUAGACAUGAGUAGUUGCCAGGAUCAAUCAAUUGCUAAAAGUGUUAUUUGACAUCAGCUGAAUAAAAGGUUUCAAUAGGGGUUACAUACAUUGAGUCUACCUCCAACUAAUACUUUAAGCCUUUGGUUGGACCUUUUGCGAACGAUGAAUGAAGUUUUGUUUUAUUAUGCAUGAAUGAAUGAAAAAAUCACAUAAUAAACAUCUGGUUCUCUAGGAAACCAACUUUAAUAGAGCAUGGAAAAAAGUAAUAAUCUGUUUGCAUAAGAACAGAUUCAUGUCAAGGAUGAAGAGUCUUACUUUGUGACUGAUGACGUAUAAUGAUAUGCAAUCUACUUCAAAGGCAUUCUUAUCUAUUUUCAUUCCCACCAGGAUCACAAGCCAGAUGAUGCUGAAGCAUCACAUUCAAGUGGUCAACCAACUUCCCCAAGAUUCGUUGAAAGAAGACAGAAAACAAUAAGACAUCGACAUGAAAAGCCCCAUGCCAGACUGAAAAUACUAAUGUGAGAUGGUUACUCUCAACUGAAUAUGAUAAUAAAAGAACGUGAUUUCUCUCGUCAGGAUUCAAAGACACGCAUCAAACUACUGUGCAAGUGAUAAUAAAAGAACAAGACAACUAUCUUCCAAGUCAAUUUGCCCUCCUAAUAUUGCCAGUGAGCUAUUCCUAUGUCAAGAUUAUAGUUUUAGUAGGAAGUCCUCGCUCCUGAUGCAGUACCAAUUAAACACUCCACAGAAUUAAAAAUCACAUGCGCAGCUCCUCCCACUUCAUUUCAGAGCCAUAAACAGCUGGGUAGUACCCGAGCUCUGAAGAUUUUGUGUCCCCACCAUCAGCCUAGCCAAAAAUGGUGCACAUUUCUUACUGAAACCAAUUCCAUACAGUGGCAGCUGUAACAAAACAUUUUGAUUUGAGCUGUAGUUCAAGAAAAGAUGGCAUUUAGAGAUCUAGAUCAGCUCUCAAACAUUAAAAGACUAAAGCAAAUCACCUUUCUAGCCACCCAUUGAUUACUAGUCAUGUUUAUCCCAAAAACAUGAAAGCAAUAUGGUUGAUUUAAGGACUUCCUGCAUACUUCUAGUUUGGAUCUCACACUAUUAUCCACAAUACAGUGGAAAUCCUCUGUUCUUCUAAAGCCUCUAGGGCAUAGACAUCGUCAUCACCAAACAAUGACCAAACUGAAGUAAUAGAUUGCGAAUGAUGUUAAGAUACGAAUUUGCAAGAUGAUUUAUAAAGGCAUGAAGCAAAACAAGGAAAGAGUGGCAACAUGAUUUGUACUGGGUUUCCACCAUUGAUGAUAAUACUUUCAACCUGAUCAAGGCCAUAUAUCUGCCUUCAGAGAGAGCAGCCUUCAUAUUGGCAUAUUAAGCGACGAACAAAGUUUGAUACAGAUCCAUGGAGAUUCAUCAUCUUGACAUUAGUACCCUGGCUUUGAGAAAAUGCCAAACACAUCUAUGGCACCUUCACUACCCACUUCCAUGACCUAAUAACGAAUUAACAAAAUGCAAUCAAGAUCACAUAUGCAUGAGCAGUUUCCAGAAUCCAUCAGAUAGUGAAUUUUUCUACUUCAUAGAAGUUGGAUAGAAGUAUUACUUUAUUUACACAAGCGCAGAUCGAUACCACGUCAAGAAUGAAGAAUCUCGUGCUAUUUGACUAAGACUUCAAAUAUCCUUUUGGAGGCAAUCUAAUCUUUUUAUUUCAUUUCAUGAUCACAAGCCAUAUAACAUAGAAGCAUUACACUUACUUACUUUGCUCAAACAACUUCCUCCAGUUGCUGGAAUUAAGACAGGAAAAUAAUAUCUUGUCAAAGAAAAGCCCCGUCCAAACUGAAAAUACUAAUGGAAGCAGGUAAUCUCCACAGAAAAACGGCACCAUACCUGCCAUAUUUUUUGUUUAGUAGGAGAUGUUAGCGAUCUCCAGAAUCAGAUCUUUUUCUUUCUCUCUUAUCUUCAUUUUCUUUCUACAUGAGCUUUCAGUUUAAGAGGGAGCCAAGCGUCUCUUUUUUCUCCCCUUAAGCCAACCACCACUUCCNNNNNNNNNNNNNNNNNNNNNNNNNNNNNNNNNNNNNNNNNNNNNNNNNNNNNNNNNNNNNNNNNNNNNNNNNNNNNNNNNNNNNNNNNNNNNNNNNNNNUUAGUUGACUUUUCAACUUCUCUUUGUUUCUUUUUUCUUUUUACUGGUCAAAUCCCCAAGUAUCACAGUAACUUCGUCACCAUAAGUCAAUUACAACAUACUGCACCAAACUACUAGGGAUAAGAAUUAACACCAAAUCAGUAACUCCUCUACCAACCGGUGUGCUUCAACUCUUAAACUUGCAGAUGAACACCCCAAACUACCCUUUUAUGUAUUAAUGUAAAAAUAUAGUACACUUGUUCAACAAAAGCAGAUUUGAACAGUGAGAUAUAAUUAUCUGCAACAAUCAAAUUGGACAAAACAAAUGUUGCUUAUUUUACGGCGGCAACAUCUAAAGCCUCCAAACUAAGCUCCAAAGAUUGAUCUUCUUCCUUACCAUUCCACAAUCAAGCUUCCCAAGCAGCACAGAUGGAGUUUUUGAAGGCGAAUCAGGGAGAGACUCAACAACGGAACAAUGCAAAACCAGCAAUCGAGGACACGGCUCAAUCGUGGACCAACCUUCUUGCCCAACAUGAGAAAAGAAAAAAAAGUUGAAAAGCUAAGGAACAGACAAUAAGUUGGCCGAAGCAGUCUCCACCCCUGCAUCAAACAUAACCCAUCCCCGCUAGAGACACAAUCUUCAAAUUCAUAGUUGAACUAGCCAACGACUAGAUAUUUCUCAAGCACAACUCAAUGUCAUUCUUCGACACCUUUUUGUGAAUUGAAAUCUUCAGGUAACUUAAAAGAAAAGCCACUUACUAUCAGAUUCAGUCAACUUUGUACUCUGAAUUUCACAUCGGUGUGGGCGACAGUUGACUAGCAUAGAGUUUGUAACCUUCAAAAAGCAAGACCAUCACAUUGUAGAGGAUCCAUACAGAGGAUGACAGAAUGAAAACCAACCAUGCAAAUAGAAACAAAUUUAAUGGUGUUUCUGUUACAACAUUAGAAAUCAGAAGGUACUUCCUUACCUUGUCAGCAAGACAAGAAUUAUUUUGCUACAAUUGGCCAUAAAAUGCAAACUUUUAUGUUUUCUGAAGGUUUGAAGCACUGAGUAUUGAACAAAGACACAUUGUAAAUGCUAAAAACAAUCGUAUAGAUGAAAGUUAGAAGCAAAAGUUCUUCCAAACACACCACAGUGUCAGCGCUCGAUAACCCCUAGUGAAAGAAGAGACCAAUGGACUUCUAUUAUCACAGCUCAAGCUUUUGCAUUUUCCCCCAGUCAGAAGGAGAUGAGGAGCAAUUCCAUUCAACUAGAAAGCUAGCAAAAAAAAAAAGUAAGGACAAAAUGAACAAGCCACAUCACCAUCACAACAAUUUGGAGAUUAGCAUCCUUUUCCAUGUGAAAUUAGCUGCCUUCAACACCAUUUCACCACGUUAUUAGCUAACUGGUAUGAGUGAGGACAUCUUCGGAGAAUCUUAUCAAAGAAAUGCCCACAUACUCAUGAAGAAAAUGCUACUUUGGAUCAGAGGUACAAACAAAUGGUUCACAGGAGAUUGUUCAUCUUUCCACUUCUCAUCACCCCUCAAGGUGCUUCAAGAUCCGAGAACAUGAAAGAAAUGGCUAUGAAAGUAGAACCUCAUCAAUCAAGGUAACCUUCCCGUUCAACCUAAAGUUAGUUCACACUAGUUCCGACAACUCUGCAGUCAAUUUCCACACUACCUAGACAGGGUGAUAAAAUCAACCUAAACCUGUAAUAAGCUCAUAAGUCCUGAUAAUCUUGCUAUACUUGCUCUACGACUGCUCAGAUAACAUAAGGAAAAUUCACCACCAUUGACAGGAAACCUAAUCAAAAGCUAAUAUAGUUAUCUCAUUACACCAUAGCAAACUGGUAGGAGAGAAUAACCAAGCAAAUUUCUGCACCUAAUAGGAAUCACAAACUGAUAAAUAUAACAGGACAACUAAACAUGCUUCGCUGAACAUGCAUAAAUGCUCUAAUUAGUCUUAUUUCAUUUCCUCCGUGUGCAGACAUUGAGCAUCCAAAAUCAGACCAAUAAUAGUGACUCAAAACCUCAAAUCACCAGAAUGCACAUGCACCAAUCACACCAAGAAUCAACCAAUGACUAAAGCGAUCAAUCAGCGACAAGAAUAGAUUAAUGUUAAAAGGGGUCCUAUCACCUGGACUCUGAAGAUAUGGCAUCCAGAAGCAAUGAAGACCCAACAUGAAGAUCCUUCCAUUCAAGCUGGAGCACAAGGGUCAAAGCAAUCAGUGAGCAUGAAUCUCACUUUCGAAUUAGUCAUCCCAUCGUCCUCCACCAGAAGGAAGAUAGAAACAGACCACCAGAUGAUGCUGGACCCCUUAAUCCCUUCCCGUUCUCUCUGUGCUCGAUUUCCACCCUCCUCCUCUUCUUACGCCCAUCCCUAGAAUCACAAGACGCAAUGCAAUCAGCUUAAAGAGCGUCCCCCUUGCAUCCAUAUCCCAGAUAUUUGGUUUGGAUCUCACACCAUUGCUGAAAUUACAGCAAAGCUCGUGGUCAUUUAAAGAAAUCAGGAGCAUGAGAAAUUGUCAUCACCAAAUGAAGAACGAAUAGAAGGAUGCAAAUUCAAUAUGUAAAGAUAUUGAUGGUAUGAAAAAAAGGAGAUGGAUUAGGCGCGAUGAAGAAAAGAAAGAGCGCAAAAUGAUUCCCGCAAAAUGAUUCCUACCAGAUUUCCACCGGACAUGAUGUUACUUUUGAUAGAAUCAAGGCCACAACUCCACCAUCAGAUUGGACAAUCUACAUAUUAGCACUUCAAUUGACAAACAAAGUGGAAUAUGGAUCCUUGGAUAUUCAUCAUCUCAACAUCGGUGUCCGAAAAGUAAUUAUCUUAUGAUGAUGCCUCUAGUGGCUUAUUAAUCCAUGACAUAAAAAGUGGACAUAAGCUACUAAAAAUGCAAUUGAAACCACAUAAACAUGAGUAGUUGCUAUGAUCAAGCAAUCCUUAGAAGUGUUAUUCCACAUUGGUUGAGUAAAGGGCAUUGAUAGGAGUUAUUUACAUGUAGUCUACCUCUAACUAAUACUUUAAGCUUUUCAGUUGAACUUUUGCUAUUUAUGAAUGAAGCUCUGUUUUACUAUGCAUGAACAAAUGAAAAAAUCACAUAAUAAACAUCCUAUGCUCAGGAGUCCUUGAAAUAAGAGGAAAACAAUUAGACAUCGACACGAAAGGGCCCAUGCUAAACUAAAAAUACUAAUGUGAAGUAGGUACUCUCAACUGCUAUAUUUACAUUUACCAGAAAACGUGGAUGCUCUCCAGAAUUCGAUCUCUGUCAUGCUGUUGUCAUGCAAAUAUUUUUCAUAAUUCUACAUGGGUAUAUGUGUUCAUCAUUAUUCUGGUAUUCUCUGUGUAGGUGAAAAUAAACGAACAUGAUUUCUCUCAUCAGGAUUCAGAGACACACAUUAACUAUUGUGCAAAUGAUGAUAAAAGAACAUGACUAGUAUCUUCCAAGUCAAUUUGCACUCCUAACAUUGCCAAUGAGUUAUUCUUAUUGUCGAGAUUACAGUUGUAGUUGGAAAUGCUUGCUUUUGAUGCAGUACCAUUUAAGCUCUCCACAAAAUUGAAACGCACAUGCACAGCUCCUCCUACUUCUUUUCAGAGCCAUAAACAGCAGGGUAGUACUCAAUCUCCGCAGAUUUUUUGUCCCCGCCAUCAGCCAAGCUAAAAAUAGUGCACAUUUCUGGCUGAAACCUCAAUUAUUGCAGGAGUGACUUUCCAAUUCUGUCCAGUGGCAGCUGUAGCAAAACAUUCGGAUUUGAGCUGUAGAUCAAGAAAAGAUGGCAAUUAGAGAUCUAGAUCAGCUCUCAAACAUUAAAGGACUUAAGCAAAUCACCUUUCUAGCCACCCAUUGAUUACUUGUCAUGUUUAUCCCAAAAACAUGAAAGCAAUAAGGUUGAUUUAAGGGCUUCCUCCAUACUUCUGUUUUGGAUCUCACACUGUUAUCCACAAUACAGUGGAAAUCCUCUGUUCUUUUAAAGCCUCUGGGGUGGAGACAUUGUCAUCACCAAACAAUGACCAAACUGAAGUAAUAAAUUGCGAAUGAUGUUAAGGUACGAAAUCGCAAGAUGAUAAUUGAAGGCAUGAAGAAAAACAACAAAAGAGUGGCUUCAUGGACUGGUUUUGACCGUUGAUGAUAAUACUUUCAGCCUGAUCAAGGCCAUGUAUCUGCCUUCAGAGAGAGCAAUCUUCACAUUGGCAUGUUAAGCAACGAGCAAAGUUUGAUACAGAUCCAUGGAGAUUAAUCAUCUUGACAUUAGUGCCCUGGCUUUGAGAAAAUGCAGAACAUGUUUAUGGCACCUUCACUGCCUACAUCCAUGACCAAAUAACGAAUUAAUAAAAUGCAAUCAAGAUCACAUAUGCGUCAGCAGUUUCCAAAAUCCAUCAGAUAGUGAAUUUCUCUACUUCAUAGAAGUUGGAGAGAAGUAUUACUUUAUUUAAACAAACACAGAUUGAUAUCACGUCAAGAAUGAAGAAUCUCGUGUUAUUUGACUGAAGACAACAGAUAUCCUUUUGGAGGCAUUCUGACCUUUUGUAUUCAUAUCAUGAUCACAAGCCAGAUAAAACUGAAGCAUUACAUUUACUUUGCUCAAACAACGUCCUCCGGUUGCUGGAAUUAAGACAAGAAAAUUAUAACGUGUCAAAGAAAAGCCCUGUCCAAACUGAAAAUACUAAUGGAAGCAGGUUAUCUCCACAGAAAAAUGACACUACACCUGCUAUAUUUUUUGUUCAGUAAAUGACUUCAGCGAUCUCCAGCAACAGAUCUUAGUCAUCCUCCAUAGAAUCUGAAUAUUCUUCAACAUCCUCCAUUAAAUAUGGAAAAUUUUGAUAAUCCUGUAAAGCAGAGCAGGGUUACCAAGUCAAUCUUUUUGGUGUUGCUCGCAUCAAAUUGUAUCCAGUACUAUCAAACGUUAGAUCUAACGAUAGACAGCAAACCUCAGUCAGCUUCUCGCUGUUGCUUUCCUCAAUAAAAAGGUCUGGUAAUUUCUUGAGUGACUUGCACCCAUCCCUCUCAAACCACUUCAGGAAUUUACUGGGGCAGCGAAUUUCGACUAAGCUUUUGCAAUCCGUAACAAUCAACUCCUUCAGAUGCUCCGACUUUGAAAGGUCUAGUACUUGAAUGUGCUUGCGCCCAGAAAUAUCCACCACUUCCAGGGAUCCCAAUUUUUCAAGGCCUUCUAUCGCAUGGAGAUGAUCCGCCCCUUCACCAUAUAAUAGCGAUGAUAGCAUUAGGCGCAACCAUCUUAGGGAUUUUAAAGAUCCCAGUCCAUCCAAUUUCUUCAGCCCAUCGCAAUUCUCGAGAUGUAAAUGUAACAAAAAUUCCAAAUCGGAAAGAUUUGGCAACCUUUCCACUUUGGGACAAUCGCAAACGACAAGCAUCCCUAUGCAGGAGGGAAUCUCUGGGAUCUCUUGAAGAAACAUGCAAUCCCAAAGCCAAAGCUCCUCUAGAUGCUUCAGGUGAGAGAGCGAUGGGAUGCUUUGAAGAGAUUCGCAAGACUCAAGGUGGAGCUGCUGUAGAUGCUUGAGGUGAGAGAGCGAUGGCAGCUCCUUGCUCCAACAGGUGAGCCCCAGGUAUGAUAAGCUACAAGGAGGUUUUGGGAGUGACUCAAGCUCUCCACAGCCACUUAAAUCGAGGCGUUCGAGAGAAGAAAGCUAAUCUAAGUUUUCCGGCAAGCCAGAAAUUUUUGUAAAAUAUAAAGAAAGGGUCUUUAGAGAAGACAAUCCACCUUUAUCAAAAAGAAUUUGUCCUUCCAGGUUAUGGCAUCCGGAGGCAUUGAGCUCUUGGAGGCUUUGCAAUUUUCCAAUAGAACUCGGUAACCUUUCUAUCAUGCUAUAAGUCUCAAAAAUUUCAAUUUGUUUAAUUCCCCAAUAAAUUCGGGCAAUCCCUUAAUCGAUGCAGCUUUCAACACCAGCUCAACCAACUCUCCCAACUUCCCAAUUGAAGAAGGGAUCUUUUCUAGUGGCGAAUGUUCUUUAAUCGCAAGCCGCGAAAGCCUCUGGGCACUAAGCCUCUUCAGCUUCUUCAGAGAUCCUAUACAUGGAGGGAUUUCUUUAAUCUGAGUAUUGUCUAAGACAAGUUCCUCCAAAUGUUCUAGUUCGCCAAGCUGUUCAGGUAACAUCUUGAGACUUCUACAACCACUCAAGUUCAAGAGAAGGAGGCGCUUGGCAUAUUGAAUGGAAGGGUCAAUUUCCUUCAAAUUAGCACAACCUUCUAGGAUUAGCCACUCUAAAUUUUUAAAAGCAGAGAGAUUAGGGUUGCUCUUCAAUUUCGAGCACCACGAAAGAUUGAGAACUUUCAAGCUCUCCAUCUACAAGAAAGAAACAUGUUUCAAGAUUAGCAGUUAGAAAUAUAAUGAUUUAUCAUUAAAUGUAACAAAAGAAAAGGCCUUUUUCAUCUUUACCUUAAUUAAACUCCAUCCUCUCCAAUUUUCACUAAUACAGCUUCCACCUUUGUAAUCGUCUGAUAAAUCAAGUACGACUAAUUUCUCCAAAUGAAAGUUGGUCAUCUCCAAAGAGUCGCGGCAUCCCUCCCACUCUAGCCAUCUUAAUUCAGUGAGUGAUUCUUCGAAAUCUCCAUGAAAAUCCACAUCCUUCACAUGAAGGAACUUCAAGUUAGGCAUUUUUUUAAAGCUUUCUCGCCUCAUGAACUCUUUGGAGCCCCUUUGGUCUAGACGUAGUGCCUCAAUAUUUUCAUUUUCCACCUACAAAAAGAAUAAAAUAAAAUUGAGGAUUGUAAAUACCAUUCGACCUCCUUUUGUUCGUAUACUCUUCCAUGAUAUUGUGACCAAUGCAUUUUGUCUACACUAAUAGAGAAAUAGAAAUAUAUCUAAUUUUUUACAAUUACAUGAUCAUAUAAUACGUCGAUCUUCACUCGUAUGCCCCAAUUUUUUAUGUUUUAUGUGAAACUCCAAUAUUAAAUUAGUCUGGUUUUCUUAUAGAUUUUGAAAUUAAAUUUUGUAACAUACAUAGUAUUGACAACCAAUGUCCCUUUGACAUAUAUGGAACACGAUUGUUCCAUGACACGCGUAGAGCUCACAACAAAACUAAAAAAUCCUCAACUGUGACACUUCCUUUAUAAAUUAAUGUAUCUUGAACAAUCUUCCAUCAUUAAUUUAUGUAAUUUGUUAAUUUGACUAAAAGUGACACUAAAAGAAAAGCUAAAUCCACAACUGAAAUCCACAACUGAAAAUUGGAAUUUAAUUUUUUUUAAAUUUUACUAGUGCUUUAACUAACAAGAUAAGUAAUGAUUUUCUAAUAAUUAUCAAGUAAGCGUCAUCAAAUUAUGGUGUGUUGUUUCAGGUAAUCAACUAACCUAAUUAUGCAUUUCUAGAUUAUUCUAAAAAUCGAUAUAUUUCAAGGUGUUUCUUCAAUUAUGUUAAUGACAUUCAUUAAGUCAUACAAUUUAGAGUAAAUUUUCAAUUUUCUUUUUGUUAAGUACAUGCAAUAAUGCAUUGACAUUAUCAUAUUGGAUAUAAAUUGUGAACAUGCAUGGCAAAUCCUAAAAAAAAAAUUGUAAAAAUUCUUCGUACAAAUAAAACCACUGCAUAAGAUCUUAUUACUUCAAAUUGAACAAAAUCUAAAGUUGAUAGCAUAGUUAUGAGAUGCAAAUAAUUGAACUAAAAUCUUUCUUUUUGCUGCCAUAAAGUAGAACCUGCGCUCGAGCAAAUUGCAUAUAUUCACGAUUGAAAAUUAAAUAUGGGAUAAUGCAUUAGAUUCUUGAGAAGGAUACUAUUACAUAUAUCAUACAAAAGUACAUUUCAAGACUGAAAAAUGUGGAAAAUAUGUGAUCCAUGAAUUAAGCAGAUCCAUUUAGGUGAAAAAGAAGAAUAAGAAGAAGUAAAUUUGACAGUUUAACAGGUGGUUAUAUACUCUUAAUUAACAUUUAUCAACCCAAUAUUUAUCGUCACAUCAAUGUACUUCAAAAAUAAAUUCCCAAUAUAUUUUGGGACGAUAAAAUGAAAAAAAAAAUGAAGAAGUAAUGAUUGACAGUAAAGUUUUUGUUAAAUUUGUAAUGACUUAUACACAUUUUAGAGCCAGAAAUAAGUGGCAUAAAGUAAAUUUUCGAACCUGUGUGCUUCAACAAGUAAUAUGGUAAGAAGCAGUAACAUAUUUGCUAAAAAAAGAUGUGAAUAUUUUCUGAGCCUCAUAGUCACGAGUGCAAACUUUUCAUGAACUAUAGGCCAAAAUUCGAUGUAGCUUUUACCAAGAAAAUGCUAAUCACAUGUUGAGAAUGGUCAAUGAUCUAGAGCAAAAGAACGAUGACGAUAAUAAUGUAAGGGACUAUGAUUGGAGAACAUGGGAGAGGACAAAAGUAGACAUCAUCGUUACCUUACGACGUAGAACUUUCAUGACUUUCUCCUUGUCCCAUAGUCUGCUACAAUCCCAAGGCUUCUUAUCUGCUGGACAAGCGAUAAUUCUACCUAGAUCUCUUAAUUGAUCAUGCAUUCUAAAUUGAUUAUUGUCAUCAAUUUUUAUUAACGAACAGUUAAUCAAUAUUCGCAAUCCGGUUAUUGGGAAGAAUUCGAGGUCCGCCCAAAAGUAGGUGGCAAUUGUUUUGUCAGUUCCAAUGAAAAAACAUGCAAUGUCUAGAAACAUCUGCUGCUCCUUAUAUGUUAAUGUAUCAUAACUUAUCCUCAACUUUUCUUGCACAGUCUCAUUAGGUGCAUUCCUCAAUUUCUUCAAAGUCUCUUCCCACUCUAUUCGAUCUUUUUCUUUGAGAAGUGAACCUAUAACGAUGAGAGCGAAGGGAAGCCCUCCUGUGGUGGCAACAAUAUUACUAGAAAGAUCAGUGGGAGGUUGUUCCCCUUCAAAUGCAUAUUUACUAAACAGAAGCAUAGAUUCUUCGCAAUUCAGUUCUUUGAGUGCAUACAUUUUAUAUUUAGACUCCAAGACGACCUUAUCCAAGACGGCCUUAUCUCGACAUGUAAUAAUGAUCCUGCUUCCUGACCCGAAAUUACAACGUCCAAUCAAUUCAUCAAGGUGGUGUUGAUGAUCCACAUCAUCAAGAAGAAUAAGUACCUUCUUUUUUUCACAACUUGAUCGGAUGGUAUCAAUUCCCAUCUCGGGAUCACGCACUGUACUUUUAGCAACUUUCCUUAUAUCUGAGAUCAGUAGAGAUUGGACAUGCUCCAUACCCUCGCUUUUAGCUGUUUCUCUAAUAUCCUUGAGAGAGCUGCGGUAGCGAAAUUUGUUAAAAAGUUUAUUAUAGAUCAUCGUAGCCAGAGUUGUCUUACCGAUGCCGCCCAUCCCCCAAAUCCCAAUAAUUCGAGUGUCCGGGCAAGCAAGAUCCACCAAUUCCAUGACCUCAGCAACACGAUCCUCAAUUGCAACCAACUUCUCGGGCAGAUGUGGCUGAAAAUCUUGUCGCUGAUAAAGCAAUAUUUUUUCUACGAGUGCUUUUACCAAUUCCCCUUCACGCCUGUCAAACAACACAACACAUGAGAACUUAUUAACGGCUCCACAAAACAUGGAUUAAGGAUGAUAAAUAGAAAAGUUCUUCUUCCAACAAGGAUCUGUUAAAAGAAGAUAAACAAAGUACCCAUCAGCAAAUUUCUCUGAUUCGAAUACUCUAAGAUCAACUGCUUCUCUAAGAGCUAGCGGCCCCUGUUGCUUGACCUCCUCAUCAAAACGACCCAUACCGGAUUCGAAGGCCUCUCCAAAUUUCCCCUGCAUAUGUUUCACAUCUUCAGUUUUCACCUUGUAAAGCACGGGCAAGACUAUUUGUCCUCUGCUUUCCUUGCACUUCAUUAUAUGGAUGAGCUCGCGGAGGCACCAUUUGCUAGCAGCAUAAUUUUCCGAGAUGACUGGGAUUGAAACCUUAGAGCACUCGAUUGCACUGAUGAGAUUUUUGCCAAUUUUCUCACCGAAGGUGAGGUGCUCAUCAUCUCUGAACACGAAGUUUGGAUGGAACGGCAGGCCCACAUCUUUGAGUCUAUGGUAGAGGUGAUCAACGAAGCCUUUGCGAGUAGCGGGGCCUCUAAAGCUCAAGAAGACGUAGUAAUUGUUUCCAAUCACGGAGGUGUACAAAGCGGAUGGGUCAGACUUAGCUCCGGACGCCGACGGCACAUCGAUCUUCUCCAAAGAAUCAGAAGAGGGAAGAAGAUGAGGCGAUUCGCUCUCGCGCUGCUCCGACUGUAAUUCAACCGAUUGUCCGGGUCUUUGUUGCCUCGAAAUGGUCGGACUCGAAGCAUCAGUGUAUUUAACACACUUUGAGCAAUGAUUUCCCAUCGCAGCUCUCUUUGUGAGGCUCGACUGUUGUGGAAAAUUUUGAGGUGGGGGAAGAAGGGCGGUGAGUACAGUGGUUUGCUUGUCAACCAGGAAGACGCCUCCGUUCGGCUGCUAGGGUUUGUGCUGGGAAAAGUCGCUACUCGCUGGUAAUAAGAGGAAGAACGGAAAGCAGGAGGCGAGACUCGAUUAUUUUAUGGGGCAUGAUAAAAGGAAACCGUUCUCGACUAAGGUUUCGGGUCGGGUCCGGUAUCAUCAAACCCGACCGAACCAUUGACACCUCCAGUUUACAGGAUGGAGAAAUUCACCUUAGAAGAGCCUAGAAAUCUGUACAUUGAAUUAUUUACCUGAAUUAUUAUCUUCAACAGAAACAAUUGUUAAAAAAUCUCUUAUAAAACUUAACGCACAAAAAUAUUAUCUUCAGCUGGGGAGCGUACUCGAGCUGGUAAAAGAGUUAAAAGGGAAAGCAGGAGGCGAGGCAGGAAGUCGAAGCAGGUUUGUCGUUUCAUAUAUUUCAUGUGUUUAUAUUGGGAUCCAGAGACGCGUUCGAAUUUUGACUAAAUAAUUUAAUUGUUAAUUGACUAGAAGCAAUUCUUGAGGUCCUCACUCCUCGCCCUCGACGUCUGCUCCCAGCUAGCCUUAACAACCACCCCCAUUAUAUAAAAUAAAUUAAAAAAUGAAAGAAAAGAAUAUAUUAGCUAUGGUGCGUUUGUUUGUAUUUCUGUUUAAAAAUUAUCCAGAAAACAGAAAUAGAAAAAAGUGUUUCUAUUCCUAAGAACAAUUUCUGAACAAAAAAACGCGUUUGAUAACUAUAUAAAAUUUCUGUUUCUGGAAAAAAAAAAGAACAAAAACACGUUUGGUAACUGUAAAAAAUUUAUGUUUCUGAAAUAGAAAAAAAACAGAAACACGUUUAGUAAUAUACAAAAUUUCUAUUCCAAUUUUUUUUCAAUUUAUUUUAAUAAAAUGUGAACUUAGUAUUGAAUUAUCAUUCUCAUGAAAUGCUCAUCAAUUUAAUUUUGUUUAUAUUAAGUGAAAACAAACAUUCUAAACUUGAUCAUAUUUGCUUAGUCGGAAGAAAUUUUUUUAAGUUUGUACCAAAAUUUUCCCAUUCGUUUUUUUUUAAAUAAAGUGUAAACUUGACUUUGAAUUCUCAUUAUCAUAAUGACAAGCGAGCGGUCUGAGUUAGGUUAAAAAUUAUAAUAAUAGACUGACCAAUUUGUGCCCUGCACUAAACAGCCAUAUAGAGACCGUACAGAAUUUCACACAAAAAUAUUUUAUUCUCUUUCGAGGCAACAAGAAAUUCUGAUCACAGAUAUAAGUGUAUAAUGCAAGAAAGAGUAUCCGUCUUUGUCCUCGCUUUGCUCACAGCACCACUAUACACAAACCAAAAUGUGCCGAAAGAUGAAAGUAUAAGACUCAUCAAGGUCUCAAAGUCUCUGCAGCAUAGAAAAUGUAUCCAACUUAGUAAACGCCGUACUAGUCUGUUCUAGCGACUCCAUAGCGGAUCUUGUCCAAAUUUCGUUGCCAUUCGUCAAUCUCUGCUUGGGUGCGACUCCUUUUCGGUUCAUCUUCUCUCUUUAGCUGCUCCCUUAAUUCCAAGAUCUUUCUCUCAAUACAUUGAAUCUGCAGAAAACCAAGAUUUGGCUGAAGUGGAAAAUUUUGGAAGGGCAAAUUUCAAUUCGAGAACUGAGAGAAACGAAAGGGAAUGUAACCUUUCUAUAAGGCCACCGCCCCACUCCGCCUUUUCGGCAAAUUUUCUUGACAACGGUAGGACACAAAUGCAAUCUUUCAGAAGCCUUUUCGAUGGAAGAUGGAAGUAACCUCCGACAUCUGCCAGGGUCAUCUUUCCCGCUCUCUCCCUCUACACUAAUCUCAGCACAUAAAUACAGCCGUUUCAGAAUAAUGGAAGAAAAAAAUGAGUGCAAUACAAUUGACGUCCGUUGAACGAGAUCAUUAUUCUAAAGGCCAAGUCCUAGAGGAUAAAGACUGACGGAGUAAUAUAUAUUUCAACAGAAUCCACACAGAAACUGUUUGCGAUGAUAAUUUGGUGAAAAACAGAACUCCGGAUAUCGCUUCCAUUUAUAACAGUCAUAAGAGAUAAGAAAAUAUGAUUGUUUAUCGUAGCAUAAAAGGCUGUACAGGACACACAUACACAGUUAAUAAUUCUAGAAAAGCAGUAACCUGUGCCGCAAGCCCAGUUUUAAGAGACUUCACCUGUCGUUUCUUAGGUUUUGGCUUGUUGUCCGUCUGCCUGGGAUUCUCUACUUCAAGCAACGAAAAUACAAAACAAUAAACAAAAAGCAUUCUACCGCUUCCAGCUAUUCAAAAGAUCGACGGGCUCUUGAAUCUGAUUCUCUAUGUGAGGCUUAUAAUGUUGUGACAUGGAGAAGUGAGAAUGGCUAUGCAUCACCUGAAACAGUCGGAGGCAGAGGUAGUUGAAAAUAAUCGGCAUUUACAUUGCCAUUGAAAUCUAUUCCGACGCACACAGCUUCAUAGAACAUGGCGAGCGGGUCCUGGUACAUGAUGUAGCCAGCCAGCCUCCUUCCCUCACAGUAUUGCUGCAGAAAAUCCUUCACAUUCUGUAUGCUUUUCUUGCAAAAACUGAAAUGGAAGCAAGAAAGACAGGACUAUAUUGCUGCACGAUACAUAUUUAGAACCCCAAUUUCCCAAAAAAAGGAAUGUCAUCUAAUUUUAAAGAAAAGAAGAUCGAUUNNNNNNNNNNNNNNNNNNNNNNNNNNNNNNNNNNNNNNNNNNNNNNNNNNNNNNNNNNNNNNNNNNNNNNNNNNNNNNNNNNNNNNNNNNNNNNNNNNNNNNNNNNNNNNNNNNNNNNNNNNNNNNNNNNNNNNNNNNNNNNNNNNNNNNNNNNNNNNNNNNNNNNNNNNNNNNNNNNNNNNNNNNNNNNNNNNNNNNNNNNNNNNNNNNNNNNNNNNNNNNNNNNNNNNNNNNNNNNNNNNNNNNNNNNNNNNNNNNNNNNNNNNNNNNNNNNNNNNNNNNNNNNNNNNNNNNNNNNNNNNNNNNNNNNNNNNNNNNNNNNNNNNNNNNNNNNNNNNNNNNNNNNNNNNNNNNNNNNNNNNNNNNNNNNNNNNNNNNNNNNNNNNNNNNNNNNNNNNNNNNNNNNNNNNNNNNNNNNNNNNNNNNNNNNNNNNNNNNNNNNNNNNNNNNNNNNNNNNNNNNNNNNNNNNNNNNNNAGAUCUGGGUGAGCAACGCUCGCCCAGAUCUGCGAGACUCGCUCGAGCAAGCGGCUCGCAGAUCUGGGCAAGCGCUGGCUCGAGCGAGCCUUAACACUCGAGCUCUCGCGAAGUGAAGACAAUCAGUGAAGGAGGAGCAGUGACCACGUUUACCUGGUGAAGGAGCAGCGGCUGUCGAGACAGAGGCCGCUGUCGGCGCCGGAGAAGACGAUGGAUUUCUCUGCUCGCAGGAGGAGACGCUCGUCGCAGGUCGCAGGAGGAGAAGCUCGUCGCUCGUCGCAGGUCGCAGGUCGCAGGAGGAGAAGCUCGUCGCAGGUCGCAGGAGGAGAAGCUCGUCGCAGGUCGCAGGUCGCAGGAGGAGAAGCUCGUCCCCGGGGGGGGGGGGAGGGGGAGGCGCUGUUCGAGCACUAUCCAAGAAAUAAAAAAGGAACACAAUUUUGUUCCUUUUUUGUUUCUGAUUUGUGUUUCAAAUCCUGGGAAAAAAAAUAGAAAAAAUGUUUAAAAACCAAAAAAAAGAAAUAUAAAUAAACACAGCCUAUAUUGCCACUAUAAUUAUAUUACCGUGAUCACAAUAAUUAAUUAUUCAAGAAAUAUACUUUAUCUUCAUUAGAAUAAGAGAUUUCUACAAUAUUGAAAGUAAUUAUAUGCCCCUUGAAUUAAAGUCGAAAGAUAUUUAGUUCAAUUAAAGUCGAAAAGUAAAAGGAAAAUUAUUCAAAAACAAGUUAAGAUAGACAUCUCUCAUGAAUAAUGUAGCAUGUCAAUUACCCAUUAAAAGUGUUUUGGUGAACCACUUUUAUAUUUAUCUAUUAAGAUAGGUCCACCAUAUCUAUUUUAGAUCUAUAUAUGAAACAUAUUUCGUUUUAUAAGCUUAAUUCAUAUCUCAAAGAAAUUAUGCUCUUUUUUUUUUUUGGCAAGCACAUCAACAAAUUUGCUUUUAAUUAACUUGUGGACUUCAGCAAAUGACAAAAAUAAUAAACAUAACUAUCAAACACUCAUGUUCUUACUUUUCUUUGAUUUUUGGCCCUAAUGACAUCAAACACUAUUUUUUUGAUUGCCAUGUCUCAGCUUCUCUUGCUUUCUUUUGGGCGACAAGGUGUAACUUACCUUGGCGAGCGAGACUGUGGGUGGAUAACCUAUCUUGGGCUAUUAAAUUCUUAUCCGAUAAAGGGUUCUUCUACUGUAUUGCUAGAGUUUCUUUUGCUGCCUUAUGUUACUUGAUUUGGGAAAAAAGGAAUGAUAUUAUAUUCCGUGGGGAAGCCUUGGUCGUCUCUGCCUUGAAAAAUCACCUGAUCAAAGUUGUAAAGGAGAAAGCGCUCACCUUCUCAAAUGUUCCAGAUAUCCCGAGAAAUAGGCGUCUUCAGAGGAACUGGGGCUUUCAUCCCUCCAUUUUCUCAGGCCAUACUUCGACUUCUAUAGGUUGUUGCUUGGAUCGCGUUCCUGCUUCAAGUUACUUUAGCUAUCCGUUCUUGGUCUCUUCGUUUCUUGAAUUGCCAAGGUUUCGUGUUGGCUGCCGUGACUUCUAUUUAGUGACCGUGUUGGUCGCUUUUUGUUUUUCUUGUUUUUGUUUCUCCUUGCCUUUGGCUUUUUCUUCGGCUCCUUUCCUCUCUUUCUACUUACUGUAGUUAGAGUGUAAGUCUUUGGUGCCGCUUUUGUAUUUGUCUUUAGCUAUUUAUCCAUUACCUUUACAAAAAAAAAAAAAAACACUAUUUGCUUUGAGAGGACAGCCACCCUCAUAUUACUAGAAAGCAUUCACCAAUUAUUUUUCUCAACCAGCCCCACCACUUCUCUUUCUGAGUCUCAAAGGCCAUCAUGGCCCUCUUCCUUAUUACUGUCCAUGUGAAACGCAUUGGUUGCCAGUCUAAAAGAAAAAGGAAAGAACUUUAAAGCACCGACGCAAGAAUGUUACCAAGAAUGUUCGCGCGAAGUUUUCGAUUGAACUUCCUUGCAGUGGGGGCAUCAUUGGAUUGACAAAUCAACAUCUAUUGCAAGUCUAACAGUAGGGAACUACUUGGGAGAAUAGAGAUCUUGAAGUCACAUGCAAAGGUAAAGCUAAGGUUCCUAAAGUCAAGGAUUUUGUCUUUCAAUAUUGUGGGCUUCAAUGAAUUUUUUGUUCAGGAAAUUUUGGCAACACAUUUCGCUCAUGGAGCUGUAAAUGGAGCAGUGAUAGUCUUUGAGCAAUAGAUUAACUACCACUGAACAUGAGAAAAAAUUAUUAUUGAAAAUGAUAUGGUGCCUAGAUUGUUGAGAUACGGCAAGUAGUGUAGGCUUCUUUUCAGGAUCGAGACACUACAAAGGCCUCGACGAUUGCUGCAUGAAGCGCGAUACCCUCUUUCUCCUUUCUUUUCCUUUAAUUUAUUUUCGUUAAAUAUCAUUUUCUUUCCUACCAAAGGAACCUCCUAUUCCUUUCGAUCUUGAGAUUGAGUAAUUGUAUAUUUUCUUGAAGAGAUAAGAAGGUUGUGUUUGGGUGCGAAAGAACUAAGGCAAUAAGAAAAUUGAAGAUAGAGAGAAGAAGGUUGUGUUUGGGUGCGAAAGAACUAAGGCAAUAAGAAAAUUGAAGAUAGAGAGAGAGAAGAAAAUAAGAAAUAAAGGAAGGAUAUAGAGAUGAGGUGUGAAUGGAAAUGACGUGUUUAACUUUACAUAGGGAAGGGUACAUGUGCUGAGGACGAUCAUAUAUUUCGACUUACAAGUCAAAAGUGGUAUCUUAUCUCAAUUAGAUUUGGACAAAGAACAGUGGGCACCCUUUCAUUCACGGUUACUAAGCAAUACAUUGCGACAUGUAAUUACACCUUACACUACAUUGGUUGGGUGGCCUUUUUCGAUCAUUGUAUUUCGCAAAUGGAAAGAAUCGGUAUUUCUAUCUCAUGAGUCGGGGACCUUCAUGACUUUCCCCAUCCGUCCGUACGGCUCGACUUUCCAAGUCUGCAAAGCCAUGAACCUCUCCUUUUUGGCGUGUCAAUGUGAAACAAGCUGGCUGCCUCCAGCUGUUCAAAAGAAAAAACAAGAAACAGACUUAAAGCACCCACAUCAACCAUCACGUUCCCGAAUCAGCCUCUUGAAGUUUUCGUCCGAGUAGCCUUUUUUCACUCUUAUUCAAGUUCUGUGCAGCACGCGCAUAAAUUGACAAAAGAUACCGUAAUUUUUAUCUUCAAUGAAAAUAAUUAUGAGAAAUCAACGUCUACUUAUUGAGUCUAUUGUGCAGAAAACAGUUCACUCCGACGAGACGACAGUUUUUUCCUAAAGCGGUUAGCUCUUUGUGGCGUGCUCCAUGUACCACCAAGGGACAUAUGGGGAUCCAAUUUCGUGGAAUUUCGAAAAUAGUUGGGCAUCACAAACAAGCAGUAUUUGAGAUCAAAGUUGGAUACUCGCACUGGGAUCAGCUGACCUGUAAGAGCACCGAACCGGCGUGGUGGGAGGCACGGAAUGAAGCUUUCUUGGGCCCAAGAGAGCAGAAAAAGCAUGGUAUCAAAUAAUAUAAGCAGCUUUUCAUAGAUAUUGAAAUAGGACCCGUUUAUAGUUACAGUUUCAAAACUUCCUUCGCCAUGACUUAAGUCAAUUUUGGAAUGUCUCAGUUACUCAAACGGGGGUGUCUGGACCCUAAAGCAGUUUGCUCAAAGUGGUGUGUUCUGCCAAUCUUUGCCUUCCUCUGCUAAUAACCGCUACCCGCAAAAGGGAUCCUUCCAAGGUCCCUAGGCGACGAAAAUGGAACAGGAUUAGGGGAGCAUGUUAGUCGUUUGAUUGAGAGAGGAAGCUGUGCACUUUCAUAUGCAUUCUAUAAGCUACUUGCUCAGGUGGUCCAGUUAGGAACAUUCUAGGAAAACUACAAUUCUUUAUUAAGAAUAAGUUCCUUCAAAAUCUCGGGCACUAAAGAAAAAUUAUCAUUCAUAAAAAGUUAUUAAUAAUGGGAGCCUUGACGUCACUGGCACUCGUAGAGAAAGUAUGAUCUCAUUCUUAUAUACAAAUGUUAUCUACUAGCUAGAGAUAGAUCCAUCAUUAAGUGUCAAGUGUACCCAUUACCCAUUGAAAUUUUUUGGCAAGUCACUAUUACUUUUAUUUAAUAAGUUAAUUCAUUGUAUCCAUUUUAGAUCUAUAUAUGAAACGUAUUUUAUUUUAUAGGCUUAACUCAUAGUUCUAAAAAAUUAUGCUCUCUUUUUUAUGUGCAAGCACAUCAACAAUAUUGCUCUUAAUUUUUACCCAAAAAAAAAACAAUAUUGCUCUUAAUUAACUUAUGAACUUUGACAAUGACAAUGAUUUAAGAUAAUAAACUUAACUGUCGGGCACUCAUAUUUUCACUUACUUUUCUUUGAUUUUUGGCCCAAAUGACAUUAGCAAUAUUGUUUUUAAGACGACAACCACCAUCACAUUACUAAAAAGCAUUCGCCGAUUAUUUCUCUCGUCCAUCCUACCACCUAUCUUUCCAAGUCUCCAAGGCCAUCAUGAACUUUUCCUUUUAGGGUUAAUGUGAAACGCGCUAGUUGAAGGUCCAAAAGAAAAUGGGAAAAGCUUAAAGCACCGACACGAUGUAUCGGUACGUUCCCAGAAAAUCCGUGUGAAUUAUUUGUCCUCUAAUUGAACCGUGUAGUGGGGGCAUCAUUGGAUCUGGAAAUCAACGUCCAUAGGCUACCAUGUAGCAAAUAAAAAGUCUACCAGUAGGAAACUAUUUGGGGGACACACACUAAAUGCUUUCACAGGAAAAUGAAGGAUGAGGAGCUCUUGACGUGUACGUGAAGCCAAGGUUCAUAAAGUUUAGAAUUUUGCCCAUCGAAAUUUGUGGGCUGAAACCUUUGUGGGUUAACGUGUGAAUCGGCCUCCCAUGUGAUGCACGGUUUGAUUUAUUACUACCAUUUGGUCAUCCUAAAAACUUAAUAAGAACCGUUCUUUAUCUAAAUCUUGAGCUUCGUUGACUACUUCGAACUGAGUUGUUGUGGGAUCCUAAUAUAAUUUCAAUUUAUAUAAGUAUUUUAAAAUCGCUAUCUUAUUAUUUGAUGCAUAAUUUAAUUCAUUUCUAUCUUAUUUGUCAUCUUAAAAGUUCGUAAGGAAUUACUUUUUUAUUUAGACUCUGACUCUAACGAAUACUCUAUCAUUGUCAAAUCAAGUUAUUAUAUUAUUAAAAAAUAAAUUCUUAAUAAGGCGAGCAUCAAUUAUUUAAUUAGUGAUGAAUUACCCAUGAUGAGAUGUUAUUUUGUUGCAUUUGUGUUAUCUCUCGCAUCACAUCUUUAGUGAAUUAUAAAUUUAUCUUCGUGCUCAGUUAAAGGAGUACCUUGUUGGCUUCUUUAGUAUUGUAGAAAUCAUAUUUACAAAACGAAUAGUACCUCUCCUUUCCCAUACUUUUCUCCUUCCUUUUUCUUUAAUUUAUUUUCGUUAAAUAUCCUUUUCUUUCCUACCGAAAGAAACUCCUGCUCCUUUCGUGCGUGGCGAGAGAGAGAGAGAGAGAGGGGGGGGGUAAUCGUGGAUUUUCUUGAAGAAAUAAAGGUUGUGUCUGGGUGUGAAAAAACAACGACAAGAAGAAAAUUGAAAAGAGAAGAAAAGGAAAAUAACCUCAUGUUACACCUUACAAGUCACAAGUGGGAUUGUAUCUCAAUUAGAUCUGAAUGAAAAAUGACCAAAACCACUUCACUCACAAUUAAUUUGAUGAAGGAUGAUGAAUGGUAAUUUCAAGAUUUGAGUCACAAGCAAUGCAUUGCUACGUGUAAUUACACCUCCACUACAUCGGUCGGCGGCUUUUUCAACCAUUGUGUUUCGCAAAUGAAAAAAUCAGUCUUUCCAUCUCAUGUGGACUCUGUACGCACAUCUAUCUCCCUCUUCUUUUCCUCCUUUCCUUUUCUGCUUAUUAUUCCAUGGACGAACAGACGCAGAGAAAAACAGAGACCUCUCUACUUCACUCAAUGAACCCGCAGUCCCUCCGUCUCGUCGUGAAUUCACAGUACUUGAGUGACCUGUAAAGAAUCACACAUAAUAUUUGAUCGACUGCUUCCCGGGGGACCUUUGUCGCUUUCCUCAUCCGUCCCUACUGCUCUUCUUUUCCGAGUCUGCAAAGCCACAAGCCUCUUCCUUUUGGCGUUAUUGUGAAAAACGCCGGUUGCCUCCAGCUUUUCAAAAGCUAAAGGAAAAGAGGGUUAAGGCUCCGUUUGGCAACCAUUUUGCCAAGUAUCUUUGAGCCCCUAAAAGUCUUUAGGCUAAAGUGGAGGUAUUUGGCAAAAACAUUUGAAGCCCCCUUUGGAGAAGGCUUUGGAGAAGGCCAGCCUUGGGCAUUUCAACUUUCUCAAUAAGCUGAGAGUACUGUUCAAUUUUAUUUUAUUUUCGAAAUUAUCCUUAAGAACUUUUUGUUUUUCCGUUUUUUGCCCUUGUGAGGAGUACUGUUCAUCUUCUUCGUCGAGGGUGGCCCCGGCGGCAACUGCUCGGGUCGCGCGACCAAGGCGCUGCCCUCGCCGAGGUCGCGUGACCUCAGGCGAGGGUUGCGUAGCCUCGGCGACGGCCGAUCGGGGUUGCGCGACCCUCGCCGAGGUCGCGCGAUCCAGGCGCAGCCCUCGCCGAGGUCCCCCGACCUCAGGCGAGGGUUGCGUAGUCUCGCGACGGCCAAUCGGGGUUCUCGGAGGUUGAGGCGGCGUCGCGCGCGACCUCGCCGGCCCAGAUCCGUGGUCGCCGGAGGUCGCGACGGCAUCACGCGACCUCGCCGACCCAAAUCCAAGGUCGUCGGAGGUUGUAACGGCAUCACGCGACCUCGACGAAGGUCGCGACGGCAUCGCGCGACCUCGCCGGCCCAGAUCCAGGGUCGCAACGGCAUCGCGCGAUGCCCGCGACCUCGCCGGCCCAGAUCCGGGGUCGCUGGAGGUCGCCAAAGGUCACCGCCGGCCGCCGGAUGCCGCCUGCCUUUGCUGGUUUUCAUUUUUUUAUUUUUUUAUUUUUCUUUUAAUAAUUUAUUGUUCACAAAAGUCCUUUGUCCCCCAAACAAGGUACUUCAUAAAGGGCUUUUAAAUUACAAUUUACCAAAAACAGUUUGCAUUUUAGAAAACACAUUUAACUCAAAGGUCUUUGCAUUUUCCUAAAAAUUUUCCCCCAAAAUCUUCCAAAACACAUCCUAAAGCACUCACAACAAUCAGUACGUUCUCUGAAUGGUCCGCCUGAAGUUUUGUUCGAGUAGUCUUAUUCAAGUUCAGUGCAGCACGCUCAUCAUCGGAUCGAGAAAUUGACAAGAGAUUCCGUAAUUAUUAUCUUAGACGAAAACAAUUAUCAGAAAUCAAUGUCUACUUACCGAGGUUACUAUGUUGGAAAUAGUAAGGGUAAUAGUAUGAAGCUAUAUGGGAGACGUACAAUAGAUGCUUUCACAAGAAAAUGAAGAGGAGUUGUUGAAGUCAUCCGUGAAAGCUCAGGUUCUUUCAAAGUUUUUGGGCUCCAAACUAAGGAGAAAAGGAAAGAGUUGCCUCAUCCGUGCGGGAAAGAAACAAAAAAAAGUUCGCUUUGCUUCAAGUGUUUUUGCGGGUCAUGUGAGAAAAACAAUCUUAAUGAUAAGUGUAAGCUUUCACUCAUAAUAAAUUAUGUUUGAUAAUUGUGCGAUCAUUUUUUAUUUUUUUUUUAUGUAAGUUGUAUUCAUACUAUAUUUUUCAGUUAAAUAUGUCCCGAGCCGAGUUGCUCAUUACAAUUUUCUCAUGUUGCGACUACCGCGCUUCUGUACCCGACAACAAUGAGUGAUAAAUCAUGUCUAGUUUCCGAAUGAAUUUUGCUGCAAGGUUAGCUCCAGAUGCUUUUUCAACCAAACAACUAACGACCUUUUUUUUUUUAAAUAAAAAUUUGAAGACAUGGCAUGAUUUGUGCAAUGCUCAUAGCUCUCGAAGUAUGCAAGUGGGAACAAGAUAUGAAUGGAUAGGCAUGAUCACAUGCAUCGUACCAAAAGCCACGUACAUCAUACUCAUUAAUGUUUUUUGUAUUUUAAACCGGUUAUCACAUCAUAAUAAUCAUCAAAUCAGUUGUAAUCUUAUUAUAUAGAUAUCAAUUUAAUCUUAAAUUUUACAAUUUCAUCAAUUCAAUUCUAAAUCUUUAUACGAUAUUUCAAUAUAACCCUUGUGAUCAAUUUUUAAUGAAAAUCACUGGACAAUCUAAGAUAAUUAAAUCAUCAUAUCAAUGAUUUUCGAUAAUAGGCCAUAGAGGUUAUAUUGAUAUAUUAAACAAAAGUUUAGAUGAUUAAGUUGAUAAAAUUGUUAUAUUCUACCGAGAUUGUUUUCGAAACUGACGCGUGAUGCAAUAGUGGUGAUAUGGCACUAGUGCUGAAAUUAUUGGAAGCCUUCCAUGAGGUUUGCUCUCUGGAGUCAUUGUGAAAGUAUGGAAUACAUUUGUACGAAUUGACCGACACGCACUAUCCUUGAAAGCUCAAUCUAUGGCUGGCAUGGACGGGGUACAAACAUGAGUUGGGAAAGGAAUGUGAACCUUCAAGAAACCUAUCUCCACGGUGAUUGUUUGGGGGCCUUGUGUACACUACCUUGGUCCAGUACCUCAACUUGAACUUCAUAUACAUUUUGGACCUCAAUAGCUAUAUUCUAACGCUUGAAUGAAAAUAAUAUAAAAUCAUAACAUGAUUUUCCCAGACAGAAUGAAUAUGAUCGACAUUCCGCACUUUGUCAAGUUUGACACGUAAAUCUAAUUAAGGAAUCCUAUAAGGAAUCCUAGAUAGCCGGGGAAUCUUGUGAAGAAAAUAUAGCAGUUGAUCAACAACAUACUAAUGAUUUACCAUGAAAAGAUUGUUAAGGGACUAAGAUAGCUGAACUUAAGGAAUUUCAUAACAUAUGGGUUAGUUGAAGCAAUUGUUCUUCUAGUUGAGUAUCCUUGUGGAUAAUAUGAAAUGGAAAGAAUUUACAUAAGCUAAUAAAUAGAACCAAGUAUAUUUAAUACGGAGGAAGCGAAUUAUUCUUCAAAAGAAGUGUCUGGAGAAAAUUAUAACUCAGAUAACAUUUAUCUACAACUCUACUAACACUUUGCUAGCAUCAUCAAAAUCUCAAAUUUUAUCAAUCAAGUACUAUUCUCUACACCAUAUGCAAUUUAGAAUAAUAAAUAAAAAAGAAACCACGCAUCCACACACAAUUUUGAGUAGGAAAAUUUUCCUUCUGAAAAUACACAAAAUUAACUCAAUUUCUCUCUUUCAGCUAUACGCAAUUUUUUCUAUAUUUCAAAUCUCGAAUGAAUUCGCGUAUUUCCUAAAUGUUUGUACAUAACAGGUUAAAUUCAGUUACUUAUUCCAAAUUUUCCAAUUGAAUCGGAGAUAAGAUAGAGACGACAUCUCCAUCACAUUAUGGAAAAGCAUUCACCAAUUAUUUUUCUCAUCCAUCCGAAUCGCUCUUCUUUCCGAGUCUCCAAGGCCAUCAUGACCUCUACCUUUUAGAGCCAAUGUGGAACGCAUUAGUUGCCGGCCCAAAAGGAAAUGGAAAAAACUUAAAGCACUGACACCAUCAGUAUGUCCCAGGAAUGACCACAUGAAGUAUCUGUCCUCUAAUCGAACCGUGCAAGGCAUGUCGGGGUUUGGAAUGUGAACGAGAUUGGAGCACUCGGAGGCCAAGUGAUCGCACCACGUUCGAGCUUUGACCCACCCGGACUCGGCGCCACACAGCAACUCGUCCUCGCCUUUUGCGGUCGGGCGUUCUUGAGAGAAAUGAGUUGGCACAUAACAGAACGAAAGAGCCCAAAGUUCAGCAAGCAAACUCCACCAAGCACACACCCAUCGCCAACCAAACCCUGUGCGAAAUUCAAGAACCGAAAAAUCGCAACGCUCCUAGAUCAAUCGAAUUCCAAACGCACUGACAACGCCGGCCCGACCCCGAUCACGGGGUUCCGGCGCAAACCCAAGAAAAACAGAAUCAUAUCCACGAAUCGAAAUUGAACAAACACCCGAACGGACGAACAAGAACAGGGGAGAAAAGAGAGAGGGAUCGGGUGUGCGAGAGAGAGAAAGAGAGGGAACAAACCGAGAAGACCGAUAAUAAGCUGAUCCGUUUACCAUCCAGCAACGAAAAGGAAGUAAAGAGGGAGGAAGAGAGAGAGAGAGAGAGAGAGAGAGGCAUAUCAGGUAGAAGAGAGAGGAGAGAAAAAGAGGCGGUGAGAGUGGCAGAACAAAGGAGAGGAAAGAGGAGCGGAUGCUGCGAGAAUCUCGAUGUAAAGAAAAGAGCCUUCGCGUGAUGGACCGUAGAACAAAGGAGAGGAAAGAGCAUCGAGAAAGGUAGGGUUUUGUUUAUAUUGGGUAAAAUUGUAAAAAUGAGCCUUUAAAUUUUUUCUAAGGAGCUUCGGCGAUCCAAAAUCUCUUGAGAAAGCUGAACCAAAUACCUUCGGCGAUCCAAAAUCUCUUGAGAAAGCUGAACCAAAUACCUUUUAUGUAAUAGUAAGUCUCCCGGUUGAGAAAUAUUUGGGAAACACCCGAUAAAUGUUUUCACAAGAAAAUGAAGGAUGAGGAGCUCUUGACGUGUAUGUGAAGCCAAAGCUCAUUAAGUUUAGGAUUUUGUCUUUUGUGGAAUUCAAUCUUUGUGGCUAAACGUGUGAAUCUUUUUCUCUGGAAUUUUGGGGACACGCAUUUCAAAAAAUUUUGCUCCAGAAGUUAACGUAGUUAAAGCAAUAAAGCGGUGCCUACAAUUAGGGCAUUUGAAAGCUUAAGAAUGCGAAGCUUCACACGUAAAAAGAAAAAGAGAAUUGGCUUGUCCGUCCGUGAGGGAAAGAAAUGUUCUUACUUCUUUAUUUUUUUGAUCGGUAUGUUCUUACUUCUUUGCUUUAGCCUUUUGGCCCGACUGUUCAGGUACUAUUGGAUUUUGCGAUUUUUUUAUGAUAAACAUAAUUAAUUUUGGGACCUCAUGUUCCGAUUGUUUAUAAUUUUUAUUGUGACAAUUUGCAACUUUUGAAAGGAAACAAGCAACACAAGAUAUGACAUGAUCUUAAAUUGACGAAAAAAAGAGAAACUAAAAGCAAAGUGAGUUGGGUGGCCACAUGUGUACAUUUUAGAGCCUCCCUCCCCAUGCACUAUUAAUGAGUUAUAAAUAUAGACAUCAUUCAUAUUUAAUUUUAGUUAAGUUUGCAUAUUGGUAUUUCUAUAAGUUCGACACCAAUCAAGAUAUAAUUAGAGGUAAUUUUUUCCAAGUAGGUACAGAGGAAAAAGUGACAUCGCUUGAUAACGAGGAAAAUCACUUCAAAUUAGAUACAUUAUAAUCACACUCUUAGGCUACAUGCACCUGGAAUAAGAAUGUGAGAUCUCAUUCUUACAUUUUAGGGAAUGUUUCAUUCUACCCUUCAUGACUUGGAAUUUGGUGCAUGUCCGAUCUCAUCAAACUUUAAAAAGCCACAUCCCUCUUCCGUAUAAUCCAAACUUGUAUUUUGUUAUGCUCAUUAACACUGCUAACUUUUUUUUGAACGACACAUGUCUUUUAUGGGAUAAAUAAGAUAUAUAUCUUAUAUAAUCUAAAAUGCUUUUUUUGAAUGAUAUACACCUUUUAUUAAAAGAUAAAUUCUUGAUAUGACUACCAUUGAUUGUCUAAUUGGUGACAGAUUACUCGUAAUGAAGAAAUGUUGUUUUAUCGUGUUUGCGUCACAUCUCGGAUCACGUCCAUGGUUAACUACAAAUUUAUCUUUGUGCUAAGUUAAACGAGUAUCUAUUGGCUUUUUUGGCAUUGUAGAAGUUGUAUUUACAGAAUGAAUAGUACGUCUCCUUUCAGAUGCUCUCUUUUCCAUCCCCCACUUGCGUCGCAUCUCGUGUCACGUCCAUCGUUAACUACAAAUUUAUCUUUGUGCUAAGUUAAACGAGUACCUGUUGGCUUUUUUGGCAUUGUAGAAAUCGUAUUUACAGAAUGAAUAGUACAUCUCCUUUCGGAUGCUCUCUUUUCCAUACCCCCCUCCUUUUGUCCUUCCUUCUUCUUUAAUUUUUUUUCGUUAUUUUUCCUUUUUUCUUUCCUACCGAAAGAACGGAGUACUCCUUUGGUGGGUGGCGAGAGAGAGGGGUUGGGGGGGGGGGGGGGGGGGGGGGGGGGGGGGAAAGGAAGGGGAAUUAUGGAAAAUAACCUCAUAUUACACCUUACAAGUCACAAGUGGGGUUGUAUCUCAAUUAGAUCUGAAUGAAAAAUGACCAAAGCCACUUCAUUCACAGUUAAUUUGGUGAAGGAUGAUGAACCGUUAUUUCGUGAUUAGAGUCAUGAGUAAUGCAUUGAGACAUGUAAUUGCGCUUGUACUGCAUCGGCCAGGGCCUUUCUCUAUCAUCGUGUUUCGCAAAUGGAAAAAUCGGUCUUUCGAUCUCAUGAAUCGCGGACGCAUCUCUCUCUCUCUUCCUUUCCUCUUUUCCUUUUCUGCUCGUUAUUCCAUGGUGGAACAGAUGCAGAGAAACGCAGUCCCUUUGUCUCAUCGUGAAUUCACAGUGCUUGAGCGAGGUGUAAAAAGAAACGCUUGUGAUAUUUGACCGACUGCUCCACGGGGGGACCUUUGUCACUUUCAGCAUCCGUCUGUACCGCUCUUCUUUCCAAGUCUGCAAAGCCACGGACUUCUUUUUGGCGUGUCAAUGUGAAACACGCUGGUCGCGCCCACAUCAAUUAUUACGUUCCCCCAAUCAGUACGUUCCCUUUGUUCACUCUCAUUCAAGUUCUGUGCAGCAUGUGACAAGAGAUUCCGUAAUUCUUGUCUUCGACGAAAAUAAUUAUCAGAAAUCAACGUUUACUUGUCGAGGCCACUGUGUCAGGAAAUAGUACGGGUAAUAGUAGGGAACUAUUUGGGAGACGUACAGUAGAUAGAUGCUUUCGCGAGAACAUGAAGAUGAGGAGCUAUGAAGUCAUAUGAUAAGCUGAGGUUCUUUCAAAGUUUGUGGGCUUCAAACUGAGGAAAUUAACAUAGAGAAAAACAAUUGUAAUGGUAACUGUGCGACAAAUAUUUUAUUUGCGUGUUAUAAUUAUACCACAUUUACAAAUAAAUAUCUCCAGAGUUGCUCAUUAUAAUAUUUUUCAUGUUAUUGCCGUGCUUCCAUGCCCAACAACAAUUGAUGGUAAGUGAUAUCUGCUUUUAGAACGAAUUUCAGUCUAAAUUUACCUUCACAUGAUUUUCCAAUGAAACCAUAAACAAUCUCCUUCUUUUAUUAUUAAAAAUUUGAAGACAUGGUAUAAUUUUUGCAAUGCUCAAUUGCUCAUAGCUCAAAGCUGGAGAGUCACGAUGAUUACCUGAUUCGGAAUGGUACCCAACCCACGUGGUGGGGGCCAUGAAGUGACGUUUUCUUUGACAAAAAUCGAGACCAGAAAAAGCAUAGCAGAAGAUCUUGCUUACAGAGAUUUAUCUCUUGACAAUAUCGCAAAGAUUUAUCUAUUGACAAUAUCUUCCGGUAGCUUUACCAUUACUUGUAUCCGUACUCGAUUUGCUCUUUCGUUCCCACCGACUUUCCUUCCGACUCAAUGAUUCUCCUUUCCAUGACUCCCUCCAUUUUGAGCUUCAUUAGCUAUUUAUUCGGUCCUGCGAAUUCGCUAUUAGAACUGAUAAAGAUAAUUGGAGAAGUUUAUCAUCGAUAAGAUUCUGACUUUUUUCAUGAUAUUAUAGGUUAAUCAUCUUGACUUACACGUUCUUAAUGAUCUAUCACGAUCUUUUCGAGUAAGAUGUCCGUCAAAAAUAAAGAAUUUAGAUGAAUGGACAUUCAAGAUUUAACUAUGUGAUCUUUUGAUGACGCUUAUCAUUCUCAAUGACCUUAGCUUUCCCACAUGUUUAAUCAACAUAAUACUUGACUUGGAGGAAUCUUCUCUCUCUCCUAGACCCUUGAAAUCAAUUUUGACAUCCCAAACAUAAUAGAUUCACAAGUAGCGAGUAUUUUUUAGCUGGCACCAAAAGUAUAAAUACUCUGAUUCCGUGGUUCGUUAGAAGUUUCGCAUAUUUUACUAUUUGGUUGUGCUAUAACAAUAGACAUAAUAGAACAUUUUCUUUAGAUGUGUACGCAGUCACUUGGAUGGAUGGAUUUUUUUUUUGUCUCUUUAAUGUGUAGUCGAGCUCUUCCUUUUUCACCGAUUUUGAAAAAGGAGGAGGCAUUGAUGGUUGCAAUUACUAACCUUUAUUUUCUGUAGCAAAAAAAUAAAAAAAAAAGCUUUAUUUUCUUUGAGUGUAAGUCAUUUCUACAAAAAUCUCAAUUCCUCCCACGACAAUGUUUAAAUCCCAAGGAGGUUAGUUCGAUAUGGUGUGCUUUGCUAAUCUCUGCCCUCCCCUUGCAUUUCGCAAUACAAAUGCAACCCUCUACAUGUUUAUUCCUUUGCGAAACUCAAGCAGUCUCUUUGAUUAUAAUACUUACCAAUGGCAGCAUUGUUUCUUACACGAAAGAUUAGUUUCGCAGAGCAAAGGACGUAGCAAAAAUGCGAUUCCCAAUCCUGCUCUUGCAUGCAGUGAUGCUUGCUCUUCUCUAGAAAUUACUCAAUUUUUUUCUUUUUAAAUGUGUAUAAUGUGAUGGUGGAUUGUCCAUUAAUAGGGGGCUUUUUAUUUUUGUGGUUGAUCAAGUACCACCGAACAUGAGAAAAAUUAUUAUCGAAGAUGACAUGGUGCCUGCAUCGCUGAGAUGUGGCAACUGGCAAGUAGUGUAGGCUUCUAUACAACAUAUAGAUGUUCAGGAUUGAGACCCUGUGAUGGCCUCACCAAUUGCUGCAUGAAGCAAGACGCCCGCAUCCAAGUUUUCAGCCCAAAAUGAAAACCGCAAAUAUUAAAAAGAACCAGAAAACCCAAUUGAAGUUGUAAGCUAUGUAGCACGGACACUCUCCGGAAGCCUUUGUGUCGUGUCCGACACUCCGACACGUGUCCGACACGCUCCGACAUGUCCCGACACGCUCCGACAUGUGGUUAACGAGUGUUGAAAAAUCCGACACGUGAUCAACUCUCUCCGACACGCGAGUCCAAAAUUUCGACACGUGAUUCCGACACGCACGGGGUCAAUUUUAAAAAUUUCUAAUACUUGAGGGGUCAAAAUAUAAAUAUACACAAAAUAAGUAAUAAAAGAAAUAAUAAAAUUGUUAUAAAUAUACAUGCAUGGGAUCAAUUUUUUUUUUAUAAUUGUUUUAGUUUUUUUUUAAAAGCUUUUACUAUGAAAGAAGUAAUAAAAAAUACUAUAUAUGAUAAAUAAAUAAAUUUAAAAAUAUCAUUUUAGCAUUUUUCUUUAAAUAAUGUUUUUUCCUCUAAGUUUUAUAUAUUAUUAUAACAAAUUAAAAUAAUGAAUGAUAUUAUUUAAUAUUUUUCAUGUAAAUUAAUUCUAGGCUAUUAUUAUUAUUAUUAUUUAUGUAUUUAUAUAUAAAAAUAUAUUUAAUAUAUAACGUGUCGGAACGUGUUGAAAUUCUCUAUUUUUAAGAAAUGACAUGUCGACGUAUCGUGUCGUGUCGUGUCGCGUGUCACAUGUCUGUGUCAGUGCUACAUAAGUUCUAAGGGGCCUAAUGGUUAAAGAAAAAGUUUUAAUUUUAGUUUUCAAUGUAAACGAAAAUUUUUCAUUUCUGGUCUUUUGUUCCCUUGAGCAUAUGCUCGGCUUGUAGAAAUAAGAACUUCAUGUAAAUUUAGACCUGUUUGCCGUGCCUUUGCAAUCCGUCAUUAUGCACCUUCUCCAGCAAAAUUUUACCCAAUUGAGUUGGAAUUAAUAGAUAUCCUCUCUCGAUGGGAAUCCUACCCCAAUGGUGGUAGUUUUCACCCAGAAAACCCUGAUGCUCUUCACUGAAUACAGCAGUCAUUUCAUCUAGUCUCUACCAAGAUGCAAAUCUCCCGUUUCCUUUUCAACUUUGGCCCUUUACCCAAAAUCCCCAGCCUUCCCAUAAAUCAUGUUCACUGUUCCAUAAGCUAACCCCAACCCAGCUUCCGAUACAACCCAAUCUUCAUUCUAUAGCAUCACGCCCUACAAGUACAGGGCAUGCGAUCAAUGACCAUAAUAUCAGCUGAAAGCAACAACCCUAGUUAAUCCUCGCCCAAAUUUCUAACCCAAAAUCCUGACCUACCGUAACAGCCUCCCAGAGCAUUGCAUUGUCUUUUGACAGCAUUUUGCCAUUACAGUGUAUAGCGAUACAACCCCGAGAAUGAAUUUACAGGAAUGGCUGCUUCUGGCGUACUUUUCUCACAGGGAGUAAGGUGCCUGCCUUUCGUGCAUCUUCAAUGGAAGAAUUCAUGGAAGAAUUCGACACCUCAGAUUAUCGAGUUGCUAUCCUCUGCAGAAAAUUGGGCAACUUUUGGUCAGAAAAAAGACCUGGCAGAGAUAUAGAUGGUAUGGUCCCAACUGAGAGAAUAUAAGAAUGUCGUCUAACUAUGUUUGGGCAAUUGUUCUACAACCCCAAUAACAAUCUCCAAGCCUUCCCCAACACUAUGAAGAGGGCAUGGAGAGUGGAUUCAGUUACCUUUGAUCGGGUAGACUCGAGAACUUUAGCCUUUACCUUUAAGUCUGAAAAUGAAAUGAACAGAAUUCUUGAGACAAGGCCUUAGUCUUUCUCUAGCAAUCCUUUGGUGCUUAAACCAUAGACAUCAACUACUUCGCAGUACAGUUACGAUUACACACAUUACGAGUUUUAGGUUCAAGUGCACAGAUUACCUACGGAUUGGGUCUCAGAGGAAACCAUAAGGCAAAUAGCAGCAGCAGCGGGCUUGGUAACUGAAGUGAAAAUUGAUACAAAGGGGUUUAGCUCCUAUACAGGUGGAAAAGCUAGAGUAAGAACUGAUUUAUUGUCCACCUUGAAACCGGGACAUUUGCCAGCCAAGGAGGAAAGAAACUAUGGGUUGACUUUAAAUAUGAGAGAUUACCGCACUUUCGUUAUGCAUGUAGUUGCAUAGGGCAUUAUGCCAAGUUCUUCGAGGAAGAAGAAUAUGACGAGAACUGGUUAGAAAUUGAUGAUCCUAGUUGCUUUGGAAGAAGAGCCCUCUUUGGAAGCUGUUCUAUGCAAAACCAGAGGAUAUAAUCAUAGAUGAUGAGAUCAUUCCAGAAACUCCUACCCCCACCCUGCAAAUGGUGUCCUAUGUGCCUAUGGGAAAGAAUCCGUUGGUUCCUAGUAGUUGGAACAAUCUGGAAAAGUCAGCAUAGAUUUUUACAAAGAAGAUAGAAGCAAUUGGAAAAGGUGGCAUCAGUCCAUAUAAAAACAAAGAAAAAAGCUUGACGUUGAUAACAACUCCAAACCACUCUACAAUGCUGGAAGGUAGCUCAAAAGGCCCCCAAAAAGAAAUAUAACAAGGGGAAGAAAACAGGUGGAAACAAAACACAGUGAAGGUAUAGUCCUUACGCUUCUCAAAAGGUGAACUCUCUUGCCCUAAAUGAGACCAAACUUUCGUAGACUCCAAUUCAGGUUUUGGAGGAUCCUAAGAUACGGGCUUUGAUGACUAUCACUAAUAAGUCACUGAGGUUCCCAUGAUAAUUUUUUGCUGGAAUUAUUAGGGGUUAGGCACACCCAAGGCAAUAUUGGCAUUGAGGUCUGGAAAGGCCCAGCAUUAUUUUUCUGAUGGAAACAAAGAAUCAAGAAUCUGUGGUAUGAGCUUGAAACGAAUCCAAUUCCAGAACUGUGCAGUGAUGAAUUCAAAUGGAAUUGCAGGGGGAUCAGCAAUUUUACGGAAUGACAUGGUGGCACUAACAAUGGAAUCAAUCACAAAUGAAAUGCUUGACUUGACCUAAUUUGUACAGAUAGUGGAAACCAUAUGAGAAUUACCUUUGUACAUGCUCCAAUAAUCAGCCUCCAAAACCAGCUUCCGUCAAUUUGGUUUUUGUAUCAUUGGGAAAAAGUACGCAAGCAUAUGGUGGAGCACCAAAGGUCAAUGGCUUUUUGAGAUAUUAGACAUUAUAAAUGCAUGAUCUUUAAUGGAUCUUGAAUGUAAAGGAUGUGCAUUUACAUGGCAAAUAAUAGGAAUGGGGAUGCCCAUGUGAAAGAAAGACUAGAUAAAGCUCCAUGCAAUGUGGAAUGAAGAGUGACAUCCCAGAAGUGGAAACGUAUGCCUCUUAUAGGCACCGACCAUAGUCCUAUCUUGCUAACUCUCUCAACGGAACCUGCAAAAAGAAAGAGAGAAAUUAAGUUUGAAGCAUACUAGCUUAAAGAUAAUGAAUGUGGUCAGCUAGUAAGUUUAGUGUGGAAUACUACAGGCAUGGAAAUGAACAUUUUCUGAAGAAACUACAAAAAGAAAUAGAGGCCCUAAAGAAGUGGAGCAAGCAGAAGUUCUCUAAUGUUAAUAGUCAAAUCAACUGCUUGAAUUGGGAGCUUUAGGAGUCAACAAAUGAGCUGAACUUGCAUCAUGACAGGGACAAAAUGCAGCAACAGAAAAUGCAAUUGAAGACCUGUGGAAACAAGGAGAAAUGCACUGGGGCAUGCGCUCAAGAAUAUACUGGCUGAAUAGGGUGAUAGAAAUGCUGAGGAAGCGCAAUGGAAUGAGCACAUGCUGUUCUCUCGUUUUGAUGAGCAUUUAGUAAAUGAUAUUCUAGCUAUCCCACUCUUAACGCCGAUGAAGACUAGCUAGCCUGGACACGCAACCAAGCAGGAGGUUAUGAUGUUAAAAGUGGCUACAACCAACUCCAGGACAUUGAGACUAAGCAUGAAGCAAAUCAAGCCUCAUCGUUCUACCAAACUCCAAAAGCCCUUUGGACUAAGGCAUGGAAUCUAAAGACUCAACCCAAAGUAAGGGUGUUUAUGUGAAGUGUGAGCAGAAAUGCCCUACCACAAGAGAAAACCUACUCAGAAGGAAGAUUGUACCUGAGUCGACAUGCCCUCUUUGCGAAAAGGAACCUGAAACUGUCAAACAUCUGUUCCUUCUUUGUCAAAGGACGAAACAGGCAAGGUUGGCCUCUGAGAUCGGCAUCACAUUUGAAAUCAGGAAGUUAUUUGAAUUGAAGGAUUGCCAUUGAAGAUUGGUAACGACCUCAAAGGCCCCGUCUUUUGAACUGAUCACGGUCACUUUUUGGCACAUUUGGACAUAAAGAUAUUCCUCUAUUUUCAAGCAUCACUUACCAGAUCCUGCAACAACAAUGGUGUCUAUCAUGGCUAUGCAUAUGAAUCUCUCGAAAUGGAAUGGCCGAGAAUAAGAGAAUAGAAACAACCCAGGACACUUACCCAUAAGAUGGAAACCACCAAGUCCUCAAGCCAAACAUCGACAGAACUUCCACGAAGGAUCUUCCAAAGGUUCCAUGGCGUGCGUCUGCCAUGAUUUUGAGGGGAAACUAAUUGAUGGGUCCACAGUAAACUAAUUGAUGCCUUUUCUCACGUAAUUGGGCCUGUACUUGGUGAAAGAAAAGCUUGCUUAUGACCAAAAAAAUUUUGUUUAACACUAACUAUAAGAAAUUUUCAGUUGAUAAAAAUAAAUUCCAUAAUGAAAGAAGUUACAAAGUUACUAAUUUAUUGACAUAUUGUAAAUUUGUCAGAGUGCUACACUUGUAAAUUUUGAGAAAAAGUUGGUUGCUAACUUAUUCAUUGGAAUGUUGGUAAAAUCAUUUUAAGGUUUGUAAAAUUUGAUGAGGCACUGUGACCCAUCUUAACGCCUUCCAUGAUCCAGAGCAUGACCACCCCUGAAGCAUUGAGUUGACUUACUUUGCUGGCUGGUGUUAGUGACCUUUGAGCCUGUGCCACAGGCAAAACUUUGCUUGCAUUGCUUACAGCACACCCUUCUGCAUCCAGGACUCGCAAUUUCUAUUGUGAAGUGUUCCCAGAUGAUGGACUUCUUGUUUCUCCACUUGUUGGGCUGUGUUUCAAGAGUUUUCACAUUGUUGUUUUCUUCUGGGGUUGCCAUCUUCCACCAAAAAACAAAUUCCCGCCCAAUAAAGUCGGAGAUAAAACAACAAAAGAAAAAAGACAGGUAUGAAAGAGAAGGAGAUUUAGAAUAUUUCGACAGCAUGAGGCAAGAUAUAUUAAAAAAAUCACUGAUGAAUGGACUUGAACCAAAUAUUAGAGUAAGAUGUACAGAAGAUCAGUACAAGGAUUAAAAAUCUUUUUAAAAAAUUGAACAAUGGUGGCCAAUCAUAGGGAGUUGGUAAAUUAGCUUUGAAUAUGAUGAUGAGAGUUUAGAGACCUUUAGUUAGCAACAAAACAUCAUUUUCCUCUUUGUAUUGCAUUAUGUAGGUCAGGGAUCCAAACUAUGGCGAAUGUUCCUGCAUAAAGUCCACACCAAAAGCACUCCAAGAACCAGAAGGCAGACCACACAGGUACCUGCAUUUUAUACGCAGGAAACACAAUCUAGUAGUAGCUUUAACAUUUGAUACCUCAUCUCACGGAUCCAACAUGAGUUAUCAUGGUCGGUGGUUUUGGUGAUCUAUGUGUCAAGAAAGAACCAACUUUUGUUGGCCUGUCAUAGUUAUAGAAUUCUAAUCCUCGAUCUAGCUGAAAAAUGCAAACAAUAGUAGGCUAAUGAAUCUUUUUCACAAGCCAAUUCAACUUCUCAUAGUCAACUUACACACAAUCAUCAAGUGCAGCCAAAGAACUUACAUCUGAAUGAAAAGGAAGGGAACUACACAAAUCACCUCAGUCUCCUAGAUAUAUCAGACACGAAAAAGCAUCCAAGCAGAAAGAAAAGUAUUGAACAAAGGGAAAGCUCGAAGCACGUCCCAAUUACAGAGAACUAACAGAGACAAAAAAGAAAAUGCCAUGAUUGCUAAUGCCCUUUUUUCAGUCGUUGAAAAUGAAGUAAAAGCUUUAAGGCAUCCACUGGCAUCAGAUUUGCACAUACCACUUUCCAUUUUACAGUCAAUUAAAAAAUUUCAGAACGCACCACACAAAAUCCAUUAAAAAGUCUGCCAGCAUGCACUACGAAUUGAGCGAGAGGUGGUUGUUCUUUAGAAAUCCUCCAUAACUCAUAGAACAAGUAGACACACAUGUCGUGAUUCCUCUCCACCAAUAAGUGUAUCCCAAAAAAACAAGCAUAAAGAGAGCAAAAUUUAACUGAUCGAUGGAGUACCAACUAAUUCCCGAUGCCCAUUUUGAAAGACUCGAAUUUUUUUUGUAAGAAUAGGGUCCAAAGCUAUCAAUCCUCCAUCGAGCAAUUCACACAGCGUCUCCACCUUCGAAUCAGCCACGGUUGGGUUGGUGGUCGGAGCUUUCUUCCGGGUUGCAGAGCCGCCGUCUGGUCGCACGCUGCCGGCGCCACCGGACCUCGACCCGAUCACGGAGGUCGAACGAAAGACACAAUCGAAACAAUUUUUGAAUUGGGGGGGAAGGCUUUGCGUGAGCCGGAGUUUUUGCUUUUAGUUUCUUUCAGAAUCCUUCGCCUUUCAACCCUCAUCGCUGCCGCCGCUCCUUUUGUUGGAUGAAUGCUGCUGCUGCUGCUGUGAAGAUGGAGCAAAUUGGAGCUCCUUCUGGCGGAUGAGAAGCACCAUUCGCUCGUCUCGAGCUUGGCUCUCUCGUCUGGGUUCCAUCAACGAAUCUUCAGUUCCCAAAUGCCUCCGAAGAUCACGCCACCUAAGCCAUCGGGUUCCAUCAAAAGACAUAUUUUUAUCUUCAGUUCGCCGCUAUGAAUCUUCCUUCCCUCUCAGAAAUGAAUCUCCUAUUCUCGAUUUUGCCAAUAAAGACACUUUUUUUUUACCUGGCCAAAUGCCCCGAACCAGACUUUUUUCCCCUGCAAUGAAAAAGCAGAGGCAUUCCCACGCAGCUCUACAGGUAAAAAGGACAUACCUAAGUCAGUCAAAUCUCAAGAAAUCCCGAAAAUGCAACACCAAGUUCCCGGAAAGCCUCAUCCAUGCAGUGCAAGAUUCCUCUUUUUUUUUUUUCUUAAAUAAAAAAACUCAGUUCAGGAUAUAUAGCGAGCAUGGCAACUGGUUUUGAGAAGGGAUGUUUUUUUAUGGGAGUUGACAAAAAGAACUGCCCGUGGUUUUGAGAAGUCACACCCAUCUUUGGAAGCCAAAACACACGAGAAAAGAAGGAAGAGAGUGUAUUCAUACGCAGGAGGGGGAGAGAGGGAGUGCAAAUUUAACCAACUUUAUUUUGAUUGUAUUUUCAGCAAUUGCUCGGACGGUGGGGCACUUGGCUGAGAGUUCUGAGGUUAUGAAUUUUGUUAAUGACCUUAUGAAAGCUCCUGAAAUGGCUGUUCCCAAGGUACAUUUCUUGUAUCGGUUGAUGUGAUUUUAUAAUUUGCAUGAUGCACUCUCUCCUAUGGGGGUGUUGUCAAUUGUGUAUUUGCAUAUUAAUGUUCCUUUUGUUGUCAACGUUCAUAUUCAGAAUGACGAGGGUGAUACCUAUAUUCAAGCUUUUUCUGAUGAUAUGUGGCUAUUGAGAGACAACGGAAACUUUAUCUCCUUUUCGGCUUUAUCAUUUUCAAAUAUGCUGAUAAUUUGAACCUUCAUGAGUGGAUGAGAGAUGAGAUAAUGAAAUGAACGACUAUAUCGACAUGACCUUAUAGUGCACAAUUCAAGAACAUUAUCUUGAGCAAUUUGGGAAUGUUAGUUCUCCAUUUCUUGCUCACUUGCUGGAAUAUGGCUUGUGAAGUGGGAAAAAAUUGGAAAUGCAAAUUGUGAAAUGUUUUUGUUACUUCUGAUCAUAAAGUUGUGAAAACAAUGGGUUGUGGAGUAGCCUGCAUCCUGCGGCAUACGAAUAGCGGAGGUAUAUAUUUGAUUGCUAGAUGUAGUUUGUUUAUAUGAUAUAUAGGCUGGUGUGAUCGAAGAAUUUGUGAAUGACAUGGUUGACGCGGCUCUUGACACGGAGGACAUGAAGAGGAGAUAGACGAAGAGGUUGAUAAGGUCUUGACAGCCAUUGCCGGUGAGACAGCUGCUCAACUUCCGGUGGUAGUGAGGAAGCAAAAGGUGAAGCAAUCUGCUCAACCUAUCAACCUACUGCAGAAGAGGUACAUCUGCUAGUUCCUUACCGAUGGAACUUAUUUUUGGUCAUUCUUUUAUUUCCCCGAUAGGGAGCUAAUUGAGAAACAAUCACUGCUGCAUUCCUACUUUUUUUCAUGUAUCAAUGAAUUUGGAGUUUGUAGGAUGGGCGGUAGCCGAGGGUGUUGAUGAUGAGGAAGAACUAGAAGAAAUGAGAGCUCGCCUUGCAGAAGUUAGGUCUUUAGUUCCAAUUUUUCUACUGUACACUUUUGACAGCCCAAAAGGCAGGGAAAGGAGGGGUAAACUCUAUUUCGCCUAACGUGGGAGGAAUGCGGGUCCCCUGAUUGAUGUAGAGGAGAUCCUAUAAAACACUUGAACGGUCAAUGAAAAAUGGUGUAAUGAUGUAUAAAUAUGCGAGUUAUGUAUAAACUUGAGCUUGUGGUGAAUAUUGGGUACGUGGGUCGACAAAUUUACUAAUAUUGUGUAACACCUGAGCCAGAGCUUCCAUUCUUUCAACAAAAGCAGAGAUGGAGCAAGUGUCAAGUGAUGGAGGAGCGGCCGCUUGACGAACCUUGGAGCAGCAACAAUAAACGCCGCGUAGCAAAUGAGAGCGAAAGCAGAGAUUCAAAUUAGAUAUUAAGCCAUUUUCGGCUCUAAAUGAAAAACACAAAUAAAGAAAAGAACGAGCAUUACCCAAAUUGAAGUUGGUUCAUGAAAAAAGGUUUUAGCUUUCGUUUUCAAUGUAAAGGAAAAAUAAAAGAUCUUCAUUUCUCCUUUUUUUUUCCUCUUGAAAAUAUGUUUGGUUAGUAAAAGAACUUCGGAUAGGACUCAAAAUUUAAACAUGUUUAUGGUGUCUUUGCAAUCCAUCACUUCGUACAUUCUUUGAACUAAUAAUCCCAUCUUUUCAUUUGGUGAUUACAAAGUACCAUAGCCGGCUAUCAAGAAAAAUCGUCUUAUGAAGUAGGAGAUGCGGAUGAAAUUGGCAAUACAUCUCUACCGCGAAUAAUGCGACCUGCUUUAUUUACCUUUGAAAGGAAACUAUUAAAACAUCCAUUUUCAAGAGGCAUCUAAACCUCUCCUCGCUGUACAUGCAACAAAAAUCUUGGAUACAGUCAAAGAGCCUAUGAAUUACUUCAGUACUCUAGAACUUGAUCGGUAGGCAAAAUUCCAGCCAAUGGCCUUACAAUAGAGUCUCUGGAUAGACAUGCUUGACUUUUAUUGGGUAUAGUAGCUUGAAGAGCGAUGCGGUUCGAGGUAGCCAGUCUCUUAGGUCCCUACUUUUUCAGGGCGGAUGAAGUUACUGACAAGCAGGAAAUGUUUAGCACAAAACUAGACUAAGAAAAUUAGAACAUCACAUACUAAAAGCCAAAACCCUGUUAUCUAAUGAGAAAAGUAAGGCCUUGUACAUGAGAUCUGGUGUCCCUGAUCAUCGAUUCAGUAUAGAAACGAGACGAAG
RNAcentral lists this long non-coding RNA (64418 nucleotides) under Eucalyptus grandis. RNAcentral describes it as "long non-coding RNA (EGRA_LNC001233)". Lineage: Eukaryota; Viridiplantae; Streptophyta; Magnoliopsida; Myrtales; Myrtaceae. The record is from RNAcentral.